UACCACAUUCUCUCUCUCACUCUCUCACUCUCCCCCUAGUUGGCUGGCCAUCUUCUUUACUAGAGAUAAAAGAAGACUGAAAAACAAAAAAAACAAAAUGGGUAAAGCUUUACUGAUUGUUGUUCAUGUUUGUUUGGUCUUAGCCGGCUGCAGCUUCACUGUGUAUGGUGAACAGGUUUACACUGAGAGUUCCAUGGCUAUGCCACCAUCACACUACCACACGAUAACCCCGGCAACGGCACCAAGCCCCCACCAUCACCACCACCACCACCACAGCCACCCUCCUACUGCCCCACCGGCUCACGCCCCAAGCCACCACCAUCAUCACCACCACCCCCACCCGCCGGCUCAUGCACCGGCUCACACUCCCGCUCAUGCACCUGCUCACCCACCUUCACACGUUGCUCCUGCCCACCCACCUCCACCACACGUUGCUCCUGCUCACCCACCUCCACCGCACGUUGCUCCUGCUCACCCACCUCCACCGCACGUUGCUCCUGCUCACCCACCCACACCCACCCAUCGUUUCCCUAGGAGCCUUGUUGAAGUUCAAGGCGUCGUUUAUUGCAAGUCUUGCAAGUACGCCGGAGCUGAUACCCUCCUAGGAGCUACCGCUGUUCUCGGUCAGUUUCGAACUCUUUCAAUUUAACUUUCCCUGCUUCUAACUUUUACAUACUUCGUUUUUUCUAUCAUUAUUACUUCAAUUAAUUUCACAUGUAUGUUUAGUUAUACAUCAUGCAUACAUAACAUACGUAUGGAUGCGAAUGUGCAUUUGUUUUCAUGGAUGCGGUAUGUAUACAUUUCCAGAUUUUGAAUGGAGAGAGAGAGAGAGAGAGAGGUGCUCUUGAUCUCUUUCUUUCUCUUUGUUCUAGGUUUAUGUCACAUUCAGUAGGAGGCAUGGUUAUGGCAGCAUAGCUAGCUACUUUUUCCUUUUUCAAGCUCUCUUUUUUAAGUCCUAGUAUUUAAAUUUUUAUUUAUUCUUUUAAUAUUGCCCAUGGGUUCAAUCAAGCUGAAAAAACAAAUCUUGCUUUACUCAUUCUCAAGCCACAAGAGUAUUGAGUUAAAAAAGAAAAAGAAAAAAUGACCACCGAAUGAAUACUGACAAAGACAUUGUUUUGAUAUGUUUUUGGGGAGGCAGGGGCGACUGUGAAAUUGCAGUGCAACAACACCAAGUAUCCACUCAAUGUGGUUGGCACAACGGACAAGAACGGCUACUUCAGGAUCAAAGCACCCAAGACAAUCACCAGCUACGGAGCUCACAAGUGCAAGCUGUUCCUAGUCACAUCACCCUCGGCUUCCUGCGCCAAACCGUCCAAUCUCCACGGUGGAGCCACCGGCGCCGUUUUGAGGCCUGAGUCACUCUCCGCAGGCACACCUCCAGUUGCUCUCUACACCGUUGGCCCUUUGGCCUUUGAACCCAAAUGCCCACAUUAAUCUUCUUUUGAUUAUUUUACCCCCCCCCUCCUCUCUCUCUAAUCUCUAUCUCUGUCUUUUGCUUCAGUCAUAUCGUAUCAUAUCCAGUGCUUUGUACCAAUCUUGUGUUGUAAACUUGUAAUGGGAAUGCCAGUCUGUUUGUUUCUAUUUGUACUGUGUCCCUUCGUUGACAUUAAUAAAUUAUAGUAUCCCGCUAGUUUAAUUAGCAACAAAUAAAUUAUGAGGCUCAUUGUUUGAAUAUGAAUUAUAUUUAUAAAUGCAUAUGCCAUAUGGAUCAUGUUUUUUCCUUUUUUUUUUAAUGUUUUUGUCAUCAUAAAUGUACCCAUAUUAUAAAAUUUUACGGCGGAUCUAAAAUUAAAUGGUAAUUAUAUAUAUAUAUAUAAUCAAAACCAAGAAAAAGGGCAGUAAUAAAACUAAUUGAGUGGUCUGCCUUGUGGCAAACAUGAGAGACAUUGCAAUUGUUACUUUUUUCUGGGAUAAUGUUCCAAAAGAAAAGAAAAGUCAAGUCCUUGGAAUUUGUUUACUCUCUUUUUUUUUCCCUAGUAUUAUUAAAUUAAAUAAUCAUUUAUGUUAAUUAUUUUAAAUCUUAAUUUAUUUUGUGGUGCUAGCCCAUUGGUCAUGGAAAAUGUAAAACGACCGAAAUAACAAGGUCUAUUGAGAUUUCCCGAAUGGUUAGAUCACAAUCACUUAACUAGCACUGGACUGUUGAACCUUUACCCUUGUUACCCUCACAGAUAAGUAUGACUGUGAAGUUUGGGAUUCGAGUUUUCACAUAUUCAAAACUUUCUCAAUUUAGUAUUAUGCAUAAUUAUGUAGAUUUAUUUAAAGUUUUUCUCUCUUGUGAAAUAAGAAUAGAGUAGAGAUAUCUCUGUUUGUGAGGGUUAUUUAUCUGAAUAAAAUAUUUUAUUUAUCUGGACAAAAUAUUUUAUAGAAUUUAAAGGUUGCAAGGGUUAUUUGUCGGAAUAAAAUACUUUAUAGCUAUGAUUAUAAAUAUCGGUUAUUUAUCUGAAUAAAGUAUUUUAUAGCCUCAGUUAUAUAUCUGAUUAUAAAUAUCAAUACAAUUGUCUGUUGUAAUAACUAAUGUAAUUCAGUAGUCUAGUGUAUCAUUAGUAUUAAAAAAAACUAUGAAUGGAAGAUAAAUUGACGAUCACUUAAAAUAAAAUAAAAAAUCUGAUGUAAAAAUUUUUAAUUUGUGAAAGAUAUCUGUUGCGAUUAAACAUCUGCCCGAAAUGUUUUAGAUCACACAUUUUAGAUUUUUAAAUAAUUAAAAUCACAUAUUCAUUUCAAUAGCACCUUUUUUGUGCACAUUGUGGUUAGUUAACCGCGGUGUCCAACUUCAAAGUAAUAUAGAGCAUAUUAAAUUGCAUUCCAUAAUCGAUUUUGUACAUUUUAAGUACCACAUUAUUUUUACAAGUCAAUCACAUGUUUAUUCAUAUGCAUAUUUAGAUAGAAAAUUGGUAAAACAACACCCAAACAUCGUAUAUAUUUUCUCACAAUAAUUAUGCAUCACGUAAAAAAUAUUUCAAACGGUUUUUUUUUCUUUUUCUUUUUUUGGGAAAACAAAGCAACUUUGUGAGGUAAGUUAGGGAUGGCAAUUGUACCCGCAAGCCCACUCAAACCCGCCUGCUGCAGGUAAUUUUACUCGUUGCGGGCGGAUUUAGUAUUAUAAAUUAAAAUCUGCAUAUGGAUACGGGUGGGUUUGGUAUUAACCUUGUAUCCAAUGGAUACCCGCAUGGAUAUCCACCAAACCCACAAUAUUUUUUUUAAAUAUUUUUAAUUUAAUUUUAAUCUAAAAAUGUAUAAAGAAAAUAAUGUCAUUAUUCAAAUUACCAAAUAGCCAAAAGUUCAAAGUUGUGUAUGUGUGUAUGUGGCCCGUCUCCCAUUCUAAAGUCAUAACCUAAAGAAAACUAAAGGCAUUUUCCUUCGAAUUAAUAUUUGAAAAUAUUAAUCUUAAUUAUUAUUAUUAUAGGCAUUGUGUUGGAUGGGUGCUUAUAGUGGUGAAUGAAAUGAAUAUCUUGUCUCGGAGCUUGUUUUAAAUGAUAAUAUGAAAUGUAAUUAUUAUUUUUAGAUACUAGUUUGUAUUUUUAAAUGGAUUUGUGUAAUUUAUACUUAAAUUUGAGAAUUUAUAUUGGAUUGAUGUUGAAAUUUUAAUUUUUCAUUUACAUUGUUUAAAUAUAAAAUUGAGUAUGUUAUAUGGAAUUUGAGGUUAUUAUUAUAAAUUUAUAUAUUAAAUAUUUUUUUAUUUUAAAUACGGAAACCCACAAAAAAUCUGCCAGGUACCAUUGCGGUUUUGGUAAUUGUUAAAACCCGCUGCGAGUGAAUUUUUUUUAAAAAAUAAAACCCGCUGCGGGUUGCGGAUGGGUUUAGUAAUUUAAAUUUUGUGCGGGUUUGGGUUUGGUAAUGGCAAACCCGCUGCGCUCGGUGCCCAUUGCUAUCCCUAGGUAAGUAGAAAUGAUGAUUAAAAUAAAUUUUAAAAAUAUAAAUUUACGGCUAUAAAUUGACAAAAAUGAUACGCAUCUCAUCAAUAAGCCCGCUAAAGUAAGAUAUUUGUGCAAUUCUAUCAUUAAUUCAAACUUUAAGGAUAUUCAUUAAAAUAUUUUAAUUUUUAUUUGUUGUAGUGUAGAUUACAUAUCAUUCCUCUAAAUCAAUGGCGGACAAGGAUUUUAAUAUGGGAGUUGCUAAAAUCUAUUGUAAGUUAACAUUUUGAGAAAAUUGAGGAUUGUCUCGAAAAAUAAGACAGGGGGUCAUCUUAAAAAUAUUAUAAUUUUUUCUACUCAUUUUCUAAAAAAUUUAAAAAAGUCGGCGACCCCUGCCCAAAAUUGGCACCGGUAUCUCGAAUAAUCUUUUUAUUCCAAAUGCCCUUUUUGACCGAUAGCAAAAUGUAAAACGUAUCCGAUGGCAAUUUGCACUAAUUUUGUUCAAAUGGUGAAUCAUGGUGAUGGGGUCACCCCAUGUCGAUUAAUCAUGCUUUUGUACGCCCAUCAUGUCAUUUUCUCUCUCUCCAUGCAUGCAUUUGUCUUUACUCCUCUCAACUCCACAAAAAAGAGAGAGAGAGAGAGAGAGAGAGAUUGGUAUAAUCUGAUCAUUAAAAUCUGAGCCGUUAUUUUGUUGUUUCUUCAACGGUAAAAAAGAAAACAGCAAGUUUGAAAAAUUAUGGGGUCCAUGACUCUGCUUCGAGUACUACUUGGUAAAAUUGUUAACGUUAUCAACAAAUAAUGGAGGUGUGGGGUUGGGAACCAAAAAAGGAAUAGGCUAGCCGUUGAGAUGAUUUUGAAGCUGCACGCGGCUGCCUGUAUGAGCAGUUCAUCUUUGUCACCUUCUGUUAAAAGUUUUGCGAAGGAUUUGACCUCCACCGCCUGACUUGUCUAUCAAUUUUUGAUGCUAUCUCUUCUUUGGUUGUGAAGUUUAUUCUUAUAGAUCCCUCUAUCUUACGAGGAUAUAAGAUAGAAAUUGUCUAUUCUUAUUCAUCGAAAGACAGAAUCCAAAGAAGUGUUUCAUCAACUCGACAUAGACUCGUACAGAUAAUUUACCCACACUUAUAUUAAGUAAUUUUAGACGAUAUGAAUCACGAAAUUGUUUGGAUAUUUUUAAUUAGAGUCAGACUAUCUUUCUUAAAAACAAGAAUUGGACUACUGUUACCACCAAUUAAUCUCUUAAAACUCAUUUUCUUUACUUAUAACAGCCUCUUCAUGACAAAUUUAACCUCAAUUAAAAUCAUUCUUCAUCAUACCCCCCCCCCCAAACUUUCUAUUUUCCUCUGGUUUAUGCCCCAUAUCUACGAAAAUUUUCUCUUACCAAACAAACACUUCUAAGUAUAUAUAUAUAUAUAUACAGUUUUUUAUUUAUUAAAUUUAAUCUUCUUAGUUGCUCGCGCUUGGUUUACGGGGAAAAAAAAUUGAAAGAAAUGUAUUCAAUUUAAAAUUUAUGACAAGUAUGUCAGAAUAACAAACAAUACUUGUAAUAUGUUUGUGUAAAGAGUUUUUAGCAACACUGUAAGAGCAACCUCGGACCAGCUGCCUGUGGCAGUGUUUUUAUUUUUUUGGCAGAGACUAAGGCUGCUAUUUUAGCAAUUGAAUCAACUAUUGACAGAGGAUGGCAUCAGUUAUGGUUAGAGUGUGACUCGAUAUUAAUUGGCUAUUCAUUUAUUCUCUCAUCCCUCUUUGAGUUCCCAAUGAAGUACUCAAAAUUGAUGGGCAUUCGUUUACUUCUUGUUCACACCGUCUCUCACACAUUUGGGAAAGCAAUGGUUUGGCCGCUGACCUCGCUAAUCUAGGCAUUGGACGUCCUUCCUUUACUUGGAGAAGUUCCGUGCAUUUCGAGGCUCAGUGCGUUGUUUACGAAGAGGCUAGUGGUUUUCCUAUACUCAUAUUUACUUGAUAUGUAUUGACGCUGCAAUCUGAUCGUGUUAGUUAUCGACCAAACGCCUAACUCUAACACUUAAAUUUAUAGUUGGGGAGAUACCUUAACUUAUUAUUUUUCACCCAAGUAAAUAUACGCGACCAGAAACACUUCUUGAUCUAUAAUCUUAAACCCUAAACCCUAAACUCUUAAAUCAUUUCUUUUAGUUUACAAGAAAAAUGUAUACCAAAAUAAUGUGAGCUUUCAUUAAAAAUUUCUAAAAAAUAAAAAGGACUAAGAAAAAGAAUAAAACUCCGGUUGUUUUGUAUUUUUAGAGCAAGAGAGUUUAAUAAUAGAGAGAGAGAAAGAGGAUCACUUAUGUGAUUUGAUUUCUUAGAGGCUUUAAUAAGCAUGAGAACACUACGCUUCUUGGACUGUGGCACGAUCGUUAGUGAAUCAUGUUCAUGUCCUUUAAGAGAAGAUUUGCAGGUUGACUUUUAACCAAGUCUUUUGGUUGAUUUGGUUUGAGUCUCUCCAAGAUCCCUGCUCAACAGCACAAUCUAUCUGCUCGUGUCUUUUUCAACCUAAAGAAGCCACUUUGUGAGUAUGGGCUGAGCACGAUUUGUGAGAAGAAACACCCAUUCACGCUUCCCCAUUUUAUCCACCAAACAAUAGCCUUGACUCUUUCAUAUAUCUUUCCAUGUCCCUCUUGACUUCUCUUGUGUUUAACUUUUAUUUGCUUUCAAUAAAUUCCUUGUUAUAGCAUGGACCAUUUAUGGAAAAAGAUAAUAAAAGAAUGUAUUUUACAAGUAGGUUUAAUUAAAUAUAAUUUGUGCUUGUAUGUAAUUCAAUAAAUGAUAAAUUUGUAAAUAUCCUAAAGGAGUUAAUUAAUUCGGGUGGGCCACGAAGGGCUGUCUCUACUUGGGCUUUCUCGUUGCUUAAAGGGAAUGGACUUUCACCAUUUAGAUGGAUAAUGGAUUCGUCCAUGAUAGCGAAAUGCCAUUGAAGCCCGACAAAAUCAUAGUAGACUAAUGGUCCACAUAGAAAGCGAAAACUAAUGGCUUGUGUGUUAAAUAUUUCUGAGUUUGAAAUUUUAUUAUUUUUCAGACUAUUUUAAAUUUACUUAAUUAUUUUUUGUAACAUGUAUAUGAUUUUUAAAUAUUUACAUUUGAACAAAACUAAUAAAUUUUUAUGGCUUUUAUCUAAAUGAGAAAAAAACUUAAUUGGAAGUAAAUAAUGUACCCCAAAAUAUUUUCAUUAAAUAUACUUAUUUUCUAAACUAUAAAACAUUACCCCUUUUUUCGUUUUGACUUGUAAGGAUAUAAAUGUCAAAUAGUCAUGUUUAAGAUAGGGUUAUAAAAUUUCAAGCUCGAAUCGGGCUUGGCAGAGCUUGAGCUCAGCCAGAGCAUGUUUCCUGUCGAAUCGGGACGGGCAUAAAAGCCUGAAUUUAUGUGUUACAUUUUUUAAUAAUAUUUUUCACUAUAUUUUACAAAUUUACAAUAUGGAAAAUUUGUAUUUUUACUAUAUUAGGAUUUAAAAGUAGGGACAAAAAAAUUUAAAACUUUGAAUAUAUGUUAUAAGAAGAUUAAGUAAAUGCUUUUUGAGUAAAGCCCAAGCCUAGCUUGAAACACUUGGACUUGUGCCAGGCGGGAUUUUUCUAUCAUCCUUAGUGUAAGAUUUUUUUAUUUAUAAAAAGUAGGAGUGUUUAGAAUCAAGUCCAUCCAUUCCAUUCAAUCUGUCUGAUUUAUACAAAUCUAAUAAGUGGAUCGAUAUAUUAUAUUGGAUUGAAAAUUUUAAAUUUUACAGUUAGUGGAUUGGAUAAGUAAAUCCAUAUAAAUCAACAAAUUCUCCAAUAAAUAAAAAUAAUAUUUACUUUGUUUAAACAAAUUAAAUAAAAAUUUAUAACUAUAGCAUUUAGUAAAUAAACAAGUUAAAAGUAACGUAUCUUAUACAAUAAUAUACACAAUAAAAAAUAAUUAUAAUUAUAUAAUUAAAUAAGUAAAUAUAGUUGCCUCAACAAUAUUAUUGGAACAACAUAUUUUUAUUUGUUAUUUACUUCAAUUAUGUCUAUCUUGUUUAGGUUGAAGUUCAAAAUACGAAUUGGAGGUGGACAUUUUGACAAAUCAUCCAAACAUUCAAGUUUCAAUUUUUGUAUUGAUUUAAUUCCAUAAAUUUAGUUAAUUUUCAUAUAUUAAUCUAAACAAAUCAUAUUUUUUCUUCUUGGUGUGUUAUAAUUUGAAAUUUUGAAUGUAUUAUUUUAGUUUUAUUUAAGCAAUUAAUUUAUUUGGAUGUUAUUUAGUUUUGAAUUUGAUUGGUAGUAAAAUUACUUUUACAUUAAAAUUUUUUAUUUAAUUAUUUGAUGUUAGAUAGAAUGAAAAUUUUCUUAAUUCACAACGAAUCUGCAAAAUAUUAUUAGAUGUGGAUUGUGUCAAACUUGCAUUCGAUUUGCAAACUUAUGGAUUGGAUUUACAUUGAAUUUCAUCAAUCCAUAAAUUGGAUUGAAUUAAAAAUUUAUAAUUUGUAAAAUCAUGGAUCAUAAUGGAUCAUAUAUAGAUUGGUCUCUAAUUUGUAAAAUAUAAUAUACAAACACUCCUAAUAAAAAUAAACCAAAUGUCACUUAUAUUAAAAAAAUAAUAAUAGCAAACAACUAAACAUGUGAUUAAGAUAUUUACAUUUAGAUCUAUUUAGCCUUAAACAAAUUUAAACCUAUUGAGAUUUCAAAUACAAAAACAAAUGCUGUCUAAGAGUGGUGCAAUCAAAACCCUCUCUUUUUAUCAGAUCAAUCCACUUUCAUUAUAUUUUAUUUUAUUACACUACAAAAAUAAUAAAUAUGGAUAAAACAAAAUUAUCAUAAAUGACAAAUGAUGAAUCUGAGUACAACUUUAGUAACCUUAUGAGUACUAAGGAACUUAAAAGAACUUCCAAAGGAAAAGGGGUCAAAACAGCUAAAACUAAGGAAAUUAAUUAACAAUAAGCUGCUACAGUAUUCUCAACUCUAAUUGAUUAAUAUUACUUCAAUUUUACAUCCAAAGGCUUUGUUUCUUGCCAAGCGUGACAUGGCUUCGCAACACCAUGUUUUUAAGUGGUAUUGAUUUGUGUUGCAAUCUGAAAUUGUUCUUCAAUUUAUUUUCACAACCCCCGUCGUUCUUCAAGUCAUGGAUAAUUGUUCCAUCGUCUUCCAAUUGACCAUAAAAAGUGUAAAUUUGUGUUUUCGUCGUGAUAGAGUUUCCAAACACUAACAAACCCUUUGGGACACCCAGAAGCAUUUGAGAUUACUUUACAAAGAUUUACUUAAAAAUAAUUUGGUUUUGUUGAUUUCGCCGGGAACUGGUAUUUAAAGGUGUUGCUUGAAGAACUGAUGAAAUAUUGGAAUGAAAUGAGGGCAAAUUGAGAAAUUUAAAAAAUUUAAAUUAAAAGUUGGGGGAUUUGGUGAGAUAAAAUAGGGCAAGGCCCAGAUGGAUUGUUUGCUUUCUUGGGCUUAAAGGCUGAUUUGACCGAUUAAAUAAGAAACCCAAACUCAAUUGCUUUCGUAUGCGUCAAGUGAUCCAUACAUCAUCGAUCACGAUUGGGUCAGCGUGCAUCAAGCACUAUCCAAGUUGAUUCAAAAAAUAAUAAAUAAUAGAAUACGAGUGAGUGUCUUCUCUGUUACAUGACAGCAGCUCCCCUUGCGCAAGUGCUUGUGCUACCAGCUACUCUGGUGGUGGUCCCCGUCACAAGUUUUUCAGCACUUUGCUUUCAAGUUAUGCGUACCAUAAAUGAGAAUUGGAUUCCUCUCUCUCUCUCUCUCGCCCCCCUUUUCACCGGUUGUGUGUGCCGUGUCUCAGCUAAAAGCUUUGGACAGUGGCUAUGUAUAAAGUAUAUCAACUUCAAUGUGGGGCAUCAUUAAAUCACUCCUCUCCAAGCUCUGUCAAAGAUUAAUUUUUUUUUUGUAGAUAAAUCAAUUAAUUUCAAGAAAUUUUUUUGAUAAAAUAUCUAAUCCUAUAUUUGGCAGAUUCACUUAGAUUAGAUUAAGUGAACUAAAUUUAAAUUUAGUCCUUCAAUUAUAGGAUUAGUUAUCUUAAUUUUCACAUGGGUUUAAGGAGGAAUAGAAUAAGCAAUGUUUGUCAUUUUAUGAUUUCUUUUUAUUUGUCUAUUUAUUUAUUUAUGGACGUAUUGUUAUUAAUUAUUUAAUUAUUUUCAUGAUUCCAUAAAAAUUAAGCAAUUUAUUUUUUUUAAAUUUAUCUAUGACAUCUUCUUUCAUUUAUUUAUUUUUGUUAAUAUUUAAUGUUAAAAUAAUUAACUAAUAGUAUAUUAUAUGUAUUAACAAAAUUAUUAUUAAGAAACACCCCAUUUAUCAUAUGAAUAUUAUGUAAAACAUUAACAUUUGAUAAAUAAUUAAUUUUAUAUUUAAUUGUUUCAAUAAUAUUUUAUUUAAUAGGAAAAAUAUACAUCAUACAUAUAAAUUAAAUAAAUUUAAUUGUUCUAAUUAAAUACUAUUUAACUUCACUUAUAUUUAAUUUAAUAUAGUUUAAUCCGAUAUUAAUCCUAUAUAUAAUUCAGUCUCAUCCAAUCUAAUCUAAUCCAAUUCAAUUCUUAUAAUCAAUUUGAUUAGCCUAAUUCUUAUAGUCAAUUCGAUUAGCCUAAGAUCACUGCCAUAUACUUUCAAUUUUGAUUGCAAAGAUUCUAAUUCAUCUGAUAGUGUUUAAUUAUAUAGUACUAAUGACAAUAGAAGGGAAAAUGGAGGGAAAGGGCUGCACUUGGUGCUAGUAUUUUUUUUUUAAUUUUUAAUUUUGAAUUAUUUAAAAAUUAUAAUAAUGUGAUAAAAUGAGUUGUUAACGUUAAAUGCACCAUACACACAAUAGAUAAAUUAGAAUAAUUAAGGUGGCAAGUACCUUACCGUAGUCAGUCUCAAGGGCCAAGUGGGUGGGGAUUGUGCUUGUGCAAGUCAAUGCCUAAUUUUGAACACUUUAUUGACGAUUUCAUUUUCUUUGAAUAUUUCUUCCCUCUCUCUCUCAUGCCCAUAGACAUAUAGUCAUGGCCACUGGCCCACUCAUUUUGUCUGUCUGAAAUCCCCAACACCUCCAAUGCCAUGUUACCAGUUGGACUUCUUCUCAACUCUUUACCACCUUCACUCUUGGCGCGUGCGUUCAGUUUCGGAUGGAGUCGGUAAAGUCCCCGACUCCCUGCAGCAUAAGACUUUGAAUUUAAUUUUGACUAAAUCAUGAUGAGUUAUGGUCAUGACUUCAGUACAGUUGCAUUUGCAUGGAUGGAUUGAUGAUGAUUCUAAUAAAUUACCCAUGACUUUAUUGAAUUCUGUUGUAACAGGUAUUGGUAAUUAAUAAUGUAAAAAGAUAAAAAUAUUAAUAAUCAAUAUGUCAAUACGAUCGUAUAAUGAUGGUAUAUAGUUAUUGAUGAUUGAAAAUAAGAAUAAUAAAUAUAAAUAAUUUUUUAAUAAAUAAGAUUAAAUUUUUCUUUUUAAAAAUGACAAAUGUUAAAUUGCGGCCGAUUGUAACUUUAACUCUUCACGUAAGAAUAAUAAUACUGUAGUGGAGCUCACAUGAUUUAUUGCGUGAGAAGUAACUUAGUAAGCUACUUUUGAAAUAAGGAAAAAUUAAUUUCCAAAGAUAGCCUUCCUUAGUCAAACAGAAAGAACCCUCCGUUGACAAUGAAGUGGAAAACACUCAUAAAACCAGAGCGUGGGAUCAGAAAGAGAGGCGAUAGUGCCCCCACCAAAACUUUCUUACCAAACCAUAGAAAGUAAAGAAAACUCUUCAUCUAAUUUCUAAUCUCGAACUCAUCAAAACUCUGUGCUCUCCUCUCUCUUCCCCACCAAAACCAGAACCAGAACCAGAAUCAGAACCCGAGCCCAUCAAUGGAGCACUCACCAAAAUACCAAGAAAAUAGCAGCACCAGCAGCAGCGGCAGCAGCAGCAACAACAACAACAACAACAACCCCUCUGCGCCGAAACCCGUUACGAGAUCCGAAUCUGGAAACCCGUACCCGACUACUUUCGUCCAAGCAGACACCUCUUCCUUCAAACAAGUCGUCCAGAUGCUCACCGGAUCCUCUGAAACCGCUAAACAGGCAUCCAAACCCACUUCACAACCCGACCCAAAUGCCAAAACUCACAGCAUCCCUCCCAUCAAAUCUAUUCCCAAGAAGCAACAGCAAUCCGGGUUCAAACUCUAUGAGCGUAGAAACUCGCUCAAGAAUCUCAAGAUCAAUCCUUUAAACCCUAACCCAUUUGUCAACUCUGGGUUCUCCCCCCGGAAAUCCGAGAUUCUUUCUCCGAGCAUUCUUGACUUCCCGUCUCUAGUUCUCAGCCCGGUCACCCCUUUGAUACCCGACCCGUUUGCCCGAUCCGGGCACGGCAAUCAUGUUAACUAUAACCAUACUUCUUUGCAAGCAAAGGGCGAGAAUUUGGAUAAAGAAGCCGAAGAUAAGGCCAUUAAAGAGAAGGGGUUUUAUUUGCACCCGUCACCAUCAACUACGCCGCGAGAGGUGGAGCCGAGGCUGUUGCCGCUCUUUCCGGUGUCUUCCCCGAGAGUUUCAGGUUCUUCCGCUUCUAAUUCUUAAAUUAUUAUUAGGUUUUUCUUUUAUUUUUAUUUUUUUCCUGUGUAAGAUUUUUAUGUAUUGUUGGUAACGAGGGUGAGAGAAAAAUAAAAUUGUAACGUUGGAUAUUUGCAGAAAUGAGAUAAAAUCCUUGCUUCAAUUGUAUAUUUUUAUGUUUUGGCCGCAAUAUUAUUUCUUUUAUAUUUAUACCAUUUUAGGCAUUAGCAAAUAGCAAUGAUUUGUUCUCAUAUGAUGAUUGAUGGGGAAGGUUCCAAUUUUUCGUUUGAAGGAGUGAAGAGAAAUUAAGAACUAGUGGUAAAUUUUUUCAGUAUUAGCUUACUUACAUUUUCUAGAGGAAUUGAUGUUGUGUGAAUAUAUUUUUUUAAGGAAAAAAAUUAAUUGGAAUUGCUAAAUAUUCUAACUUUUAUUAAUUGUGGGGUCGGUAGGGACUGCCAAUGUAGGCAUGACUAUGGAUCCAGAAAUUCAAUUCCAAUUACUUGAGACUUUGUAAACACAAAACACUGCAGAUGUGAGAGAGAGGGAGAGGAAGAGACGAGUAAUGGGAAAAUGGGAAAACUUUUGUUCGUAUGAAAUGGCCAAAAAAUAAAAGCAGCUUUGGGCAAAGCUGUCAAAGCUAAAUGGGAGAGGGAGGAAUCUUGAUGACUCUUUUGUUUUGUUUUUUGCUUUGUGGAGUGAAAAGGAUGCGCCAAGUAAAGAAUUCUACGUGGACAAUGCCACUUACUCAAUAUCGUCGUCAUAGACUAGUCUCGCACACAUGCCAUCUUGAUUCUAGAUCUACCAUCACGAUUCAUAAUGCUGCGAAAAAUAUUCGCCAUUGGAUACGUAAAUGGAUUAGAUACAGAUUUUAGCUAAACCAGUCUUCAUACUUGUUUCUGUGACAGCGUACAAGUCAAGUCAACACUCAACAGUUGUUCUCAAUGAGGACAAGAAACCUAAAGUGAUUGCAUUGUGAUUUUACAAUUGCUAGCAUUUUAAAAGAUUUUUUGUUAAUGCGAUGUCGACUUAAUUUUCUUUUUCUUUUUGAGUUGAGGAUGACGACUAAUUUUGGGCACAGUUGCAGCCACACAAGAUUUUAUUUGGUUGGACGCAAUUAAUUGAAGGACCCACCUGCGCAGGAAUCGUGCAAAGAAAAGAAAGCUGAUGGCCCCAGAGGCCCAGUUGUUUUCAGAUAUUUGAUUGAGUUUCCUGAAUCUCGAGUCAGUGAGUGGGUACUUUAGACUAGAAUUGCUGUAAAAAGUGGUCAUGCGAAUGGGGGGUUUCUUCCUUUUGCUCUCUUCGAAUCCAAUACCCAAACCCGCUGUGCCGAAACUGUUGCUUUUUUGACUCAAGAGAGACCAACUUGAGUGAGGUGAGACAUGCGGAAGUGCAGGUGUGCAGAAGUGGGUCUUUUUGAUUAUGAAAGACUGAAUAAGCAUUUUGAAAUGAAAUUAAAGAAAGCCGUGAAACGUGGUGUCAGAGCAGAAAAAAACUUUUCAAAUUUAUUUAUUUAUUUAUGUGAUAUAUAAAAGAAAAAAAAAUUAAAUCGUAUUUCAAAAGAUUUUUUAAAUAAAAACCAAUUCAUAUCAUUUUAAUUAUAUUUUUUUAACCAAAAUAAUAAUAACUCAUCUCACUCUUCAAAAAUGAGAAAAUAAAAAAUAAUAUAAUACUGCAUAUUAGAUUUUUUUUUCUUUUCUGAAUACUAAAGUCUGAAGAGAGGGAAUAAUAAUAUUAUUUAAAAAAUAUUUUAGAAUAAUUUUAUUUACGCAGCUCUUUAAACGAUAAGUAGAAUCUUAUUUAAUGAAAAUUUUAGUGAUGCUCUUAAUUGAUUGCUUUUGUUUUGUUUUAAUUUUGGUAUUUUGUGCUGGGGUUAUAGUUCCCAUUUUUUUGAAAAAAAAAAAAAGAGAAGAGGAAUUGGGUUAUAGUUAGUUGGUAGGUCAUUAAUUGAACAAUUGAAACUUCUACGUGCCUUGUUUGAAGAUGCACGUCUUUCUUCCUCUUUUCAAUUUUCAAAGGAAAUUGUCAAUCCUCAACCUAUUAAUUUCCCCCGAUUUUUAAGUAAUUCUACAAAUGUGUAUCUGUUCAGCACAUUCUCUGGAAAAUGACCAAAAUGACCAAAAUGACCAUCUUAUGACAUUAUCAAAAGUUAUAAUCUAUUAAUAGCAAGGUGAAAAAAAUAAUACAAUUUAUUAAAAAAAGAAAAGAAGACUAAACUUUAAACUAAUGGCUGUUUACUGUUUGGAUCAAAGAAAUAAGAAUCAUUUUCAUCCGUGUUUACUUGUUAAAAGUAUAAAGGAAUGAAAGUGAAUUUUGGUUGGGACUCAUAAAUUUGGGAACGAAAAUACAAGAAUUCCCUUCUUAUGGGAGAUAAAAAUGAAAAUGAAGAAAAGAGAAAUAAAUUGAUAUUUUUAACCUUAAAUAAAAUUUAAAAAAAAUUGAUAAAUUUAUACUUUUAUCCUUAAACAAAAUAAAGUUCUUGGUUUAACUCAUUUAAAUAUAUUAUUAUUGUGUUAAAUUAGAGGAAAUAGUGAGUGGAUAUUAAUAAUUUCCGUAUUUUAAAAUACAUCUUUUCCGCGUUCGUUACCUGAUACUGAAAGUACUUAUCCAUCAACGGUAUAUGGGUAUGGCUUGAACACUAAUGCCGGGGUUUCACGCUUGAUAUUUUUGACAAAUUUGUAAGGAACUUUGUUUGUAUUCAAUUGAAGUUGCCUUGAAGGUUCCUGCCGGGCAGUUAGCAGUAUUAACUUUAAAGGAUUAGAAAUUUUAUGAUAAAUUGACGUCAUCGUGGAGAAUUAAUGCAUCAUAGAAAAUAACUAAAAAAAAUCCCACUACUUAAAAAAGUCUCGAGAAAAUAAAGACCUUUUUUUUUUAGUUGAAACUUGCAAAAAGUAUAAUCAAACAAACUAUAGCAAGGAAUCUAGGGAAAAAGCAGCAAAAUAUUUAAAUUUUUAGUGGCCUAAUCAUGAUUACCCGUAGUCUUUUUAAUUUUUAAUUUUUUUUUUUUUACUGUAACUUCUUUCACUGCCAUGCUUGGACAGGACACAAGAUGACACUAUACCUGGGCCGCCACUCACUCUCAGUCUCGGUGUGCACGAAAAACGUAUGAAGACAAUCUAGAAGAUAAGAGCUAAUGUUUGAAAUGACCGGCUGUUUCUUUGGCUACUGCGGUUGAGACAGUCUAAAUAAUUGACCAGCCAGCCGUUUUCAGUGCGAAAUUUGCAGCUGCUUGGGCCGCAAAUUUGGAACCAAAAUUUGGAAUUGCCAGCCCUUUCAUCCCAAUUGUAUGGUAGACAAACACAUGGGUUCAUCAUUUUCUGUUGUCUGGUAGUACAAGCGAUAUUUCACAGUUCUCUUCUCUACGAGGUGAUGUUAUGUGUGUGCAACAAGUAUUUUAUUUUUUCUUAUGGUGACACCAAAAAAAGAAGAAGAAAAAACUCACUCGAAACCUCAAAUCGAGUUUACAGUUUAAUUGGGGAAAUUUAGGCUGGGUUUAGUUGAAUUUAAUUUACUAUCAUCCAAAUUUAUAUAUAUAAAAGAACUGUAUACCUCUAGUAAUCAGACCUAAACUUCUCCUAAAAAUCUUAAUAUAAAAAACCAAAUUAAAAAAAAAAAGAGGCAGGGGUGGUUUCAUCCGAGGGUUGUAUUUCACGAUAUAAGUUUAAUUUUAUAAAUUUGGUGAAAUCUCAAUCUUUCCAUGUUCUUAAAUUUCUAACUUUUGUACAACCUUAUUUGAAUAGUGUUUUAAAAAUCUUUUUGUUAAUUUGACUCUUUAAAUAAGUAGUAAAAUCUCAUUUGAAGAGUUUUUUGACGAUGUUGUAACCUUUUAGUCAAUUUGAAACCAUCAAAAGAACAGUUUUUAAACAAUUACGAAUCAAGAUUCUCUUAUUUGAAAAUGAGGAAAUCUCACUCCUGUUGAUAAAAUAACGUCAAUCAUGUCAUAUAGAGUUUUAUAUAUUUUUCUUAUACUUUUUGAUAUUUUUAAAUUUUUUAUAAUAAAAUUUUCAUUUUAUAUUCUCAAGAUCAAAUAUCAAGUAAAUUAUUAUUUUUUUAAAAAAUCACCGAUAAGGUGGGUGUUAGAGGACCCCUACUUGUAAAAUUAAUCAAAGUAAAGGAAAAUAUGUUUAAAGGGGAUAUAAAACAAAACCUCUAGGUCAUAGGAAAAACAAAAACAAAAUAAGCUUAACAAAAGCAAUAAGAGAAAAGAGAAAGCCAAAUAAACAAAAUUAAGAUAAAGCCUAAUGAAAUAUUAAGCAAAUAAUAAAUAUAUAUUUUUUGGACAAUCUUAAUUUUUGUCCUCAAAUAUGCAUUGGACUAUCUCAAAAUGCAUGUAUAGUAUAGUGUCAUUCUUAAUUUGUAUUAAAAAGAAAAUAUAACUUAUAACUAGAUUGAAACUAUAUACUUUUUUUACGCUGAUUAUAUAUCUUUAAGUAUCGUUAGGAAUAACAUUUUGAAGAUAAAUUUCUUUGAAUCCAUUUAUCAAGUAUUACAGCAGUGGUUAAAGUUAAUUUAUUAGUAAAUAAAAUAUUGGACGAAGGGCCAUGUGCAUGAAUGUUUACAAAAGGAUGGCAUAUUUUUUUUUAAUUAUUAUACACAUGCACAUUUUAUAACACUCGAAUCUAAAAUCUAAAUUUUGAAAAGACUGCCUGCUAACCAGUAAAUUAGACCUUGGUCUCAGAUGACACAGUUUAUCAAUAUGAUUUCCUUAAAAUCACCAUUAUUGAUCCAUUUUUCCGUCUCUUUAAAAUGACCAUUAAUUCUUGAGUGUUAAAAAAUGCUUUCAAAGAGCUAGGUUAAAUGAAUUGGAAAACAAAAGAAAAGCUUAAAGCCCUAAUUAAUCGACACUUGAACACGAAUAAUAUUUUAUCUUUUUAUUGAUUACCUCGGCAAAAUAAAUGGAAGAACAAAAAGAAUUAAUGAGGAGAAGAGACUAGGUUCAAUUACAUGAAUAAAGUUCAUCAAUGUUAAGAUUCAGUGAUUGCAUUUGUACCCAUCCGCAAAAUUUUAAAAAAGACAAAAAAAAAAAAAACAAAACAAUAGAACAUAGAAAAAAAUUACAAAAAAAAAAAAAGGAAAUUCGCAAUAGCAAAAUAACUCAAGUUUCCGAAGAGUACUAGUUAGUUAUAAUCAAGGGGACAUGUUAUUUCUCUCUUUUCUAUUAAAUGAGCUUUGAAUACCGUACCGAUCCUAUGAGUCAAUUAAUUGACUAGGCUGUGGCCCUCUGGCAGUUGGUAAUGGCGGUGCAACCACGGCGGUAAGGGUUAGCGGGGCCUCCUCCAUUGCAAUUGUAAUAAGAAGCGCCACGUCGGUUGCAUGGAACUGAAUUGCCCUGUAGGGCUCCCUAGCUGAUGAAGCCUGCUGCAUUGAGGUGGCGACGGCUAUCUUCUGCGGGCAUCAACACUUCAGUGUCAUCUUCAAUGCGUCCGAUGUUGGUGAGGCGACCCCAGCUGCCGCUGUCGAAGGCAUUUGCCUCUGAUGCCAUGAUGGCCAUCACAAUGCCCAAUGCAAGGAACACCAUACUGAUCAGCUGCUGCUAUGCUGUACCCAUUUUAAUUUAUUACUAUUUAUAAUCAUUAUUUUGGGGGGGGGGCUCUUAAUUAAAUACAAACAAUGGAGUUUAAAAAGAGCGAGUGAUGUUUUAUGUUCACUUGAUGAUAAUCCAUUUCUAAAUUUUGUGCGCUCUCCUGAUUUAUACAUAAAAGGAGGCGAAAUGUGGGAUAUAUACUACUGACUGAAGGGUGGCUGUGAUUUUUACUCAGUUGAAUGAGGGGAAUCCUUUGAUGAUUUUUGUGGUUGUGAACUCUGCGGGCUUAACGUUAAUUUAGACUUAGAGCUGCCCGUUUCUUGCUCCAUCCCUCUGUAUUUCUGUCUAAAUAUAUAUAUGGUAUUAUUAUUGUUGUUUCAAAAAUGCCAAUGGCUUUAAUAGCCAGUAUGUAUGAAGAUUAAUUGAUUAAUUUGUUCUUCAUGUGGUACUAUUAUUGUUGUUUCAAAAAUGCCAAUGGCUUUAAUAGCUAGUAUGUAUGAAGAUUAAUUGAUUUAUUAUGUCUUUAAUUCUGGGUUUUGUUAAUUUUUUUGAUAUGUUUAUCCGGUGAUCCAUAUUAUUGAAAAUAUGGAACAUUUGCCUCACCAAAUACAGAUCUAUCAUGUCAUAUAUACAUAGAUCUUGUCCAUCAUAGAUAUUGCAGUUUGCAAGGAUAAUAAAAAGUAUAAUCAACGGAGAAAUUUCCGGCAAUAAAUCAAGAUAAUUUAUAAUUGACUAGGAUAAGAAUAACACAAUCAGACAGUUAGAUCGAUGAUUAAGUUGAAUUAGUAAGGAACUAAUAUUAGUAUUAAUUCAUAACAAGUCUUUUAAGAAAUACUAACAUUAUAUCAGUAUUAUCUAUUAAGUUUUUGGGUCAAGUUGAUCAACUAAGACAAUACAUGGCAUACAUAUACGCAAUAUAUCUAAAACUCUUGAAAAAGUUAUAACAAUGCAUAGAUUUUAAGAGUGAUGAUGUAUUUUUCUUUAUUCACAUCUAGCAAAUUGAAACAUUUAUGAUCGUGAAUUGCUUUUAAGUUUUGAUGUAUGUGGUUGACUAAACGUAUUGAAUUAAGAUCGUUAUUGUCAACCGCGUCUUACUUCCCCAAUAUUUUGAGGGCGUAUUCCCAUUUUGAGGAGCAUUAGAUCCAUAUUCAUCAAUCCCCAAAUAGAAAGUAGAAUCGCCUCAAUACAUAUCAAUUUGAGUUAUGUGAGACAGAGUUAAUACAAAAAAGGUCUAUAUAGAUAUAUGACUAGAAAUGUUAACGUUUAAGAACAAUAAAAAAAAUGGUGUAUCAUUACUAACUGCUCUGCGCUUUCUUCUCCACAACAUACUAGCACCUCUUAUGUGUUGUCUUUAUCCGCAUUGAAUGUAAUGUUGCUAUACACAAGGUCCAUAAAAUGUCUUCCUUCCUCCUCUCUCACUCUUGUUUGUUGCCUUUCAAAAGUUGACAAUAAAAAGGUUAAAAAUGAACGAUUAGUACAAAUGGGUUCGUGUCGGUUUUUGUCACCAUUCUGUUGAGGUUUAUUAUUUAUAUCAGUAUCACUGCUUUUAAAAAGUAGUACUUGAACAAAUUUUUAUAGGACACAUUAGCAUUAAUUAGUAUCUUCUUCCUAUUUUGUCUCUCCUUGGAUUUGUGACUUUUAAGAAUCUAGUAACACAUGACAAUAAUUGAAUGGUUAAAAUUUGUUUCUCUCCAUUAGCAUUAAUUAGUAUCUUCUUCUUGUAUUUUCUUUCCUCGUACUUUUUGACUUUUAAGGGCCUAAUAAUACAUGACAAUAAGCAAGUUGAAUGGCCAAGAUUUAUUUCUCUUCACUUUCAAAAUUAAUCCAUUAAAUUGAUUAGGUAUUAAAGUAAAAUAGUAAUCUGUAAAGACAAAUUAAACUCUUAUCAUUCCCAAUUCUUCAAUUAACCUAGAGUUAAGGUGUGAAUCAGCAUUGAAGCGUCAGAUUGGUGUUGAUUUAAUUGCAACUUGAACAGAUCUUGACAAAGAUUCUUGGACAGUGAUUUAUUUCUAAUUAGAGAAAAAAGCAAUCAAGUCACUACAAUAGUUUCCAAACCUUCAUUUCCUUCUCCCCUGCAGACUUACCAAGACUUUGGCAAAAUUCAAAUCUAGGACUCUUAUAUGUGAAACCUUUACCCAUUCUUGCUUUUGUCAAAUUAAUUAGUGAGGUAGUCUUAUGCUUGUGUACCCAACCAAACACCAGUUCGAUUGCGUGAAUCAUUUAGCGACAGCAACUAAUUAAGUAUAUAAUUGUUAAAAUAAUAUCUUAAUCUCCACAUUUCCAAUUUUCAUGUGCAUUAGACUUUCAUACAAUAAUAAUACAACAAAAAAUGAUUAUCUGGUUGGCCCAUAGUGAAUGCAAAGUUCACCAAUUAAUCAAAAUUGUCUUUCGAUUAAAAAAAAAGUUAGACAAAAAAAGACACUUGUGAGCUGUAAUCGAGUCAAUAAUAUCAUAAGUCUAAUCCCCGGUGGUUUUUUACUCCCCCUUAAAUUAUACCAAGUAAAUGAACUUUGAAUGUGGCUUUAAAAUGAUCCCAAUCACAAAACCUAACAACUACUACGUAGACCCAUUUUCAUGCUUUUCUUGAUUGAUUGAAAUCAUUGUUCAUUAAAUUACUCAUUAAUUCCCCCAUCAGUGUUGUUACUAGUUAAGAGAAAUAUUGAAAAAAUGACUACAAAAAUCACGAGAUUUGAUAUAUCUUGUUACCAUAUAGUUUUAUUUACAUGGAAAAAAAAUUAGAAAUCCGGACAUUUGAGUCUCAAUAUAAGUUCUAAUGUUAUAUGUCACUCAUUUAUUGAAUGAUAAAAUUUGAGUAUGAAUGGAUGAUGAAAUUUAAGGCUUAUAAAAUUACUUAACCAUCAUCUAAUAAAUGAAUGCCACGUCAAUUAAAAUUAAAAUUGAAACCUAAACAUUGGGAUAACUAAUAUUGGUUUAUGGAUGAAACACAUAUGAAAAUGGAAUUUGGUAAUCGUUGAGGGACCCAAAAUUCUCUUUUUCCACGGAGAGGAGACGAGAGCAUAGCGUGUAUAAUUAAUUAAGGUUAAUUAUUACUUAUUAAGCAAGCAAAUUUGUUUCCCUUGAUGACUCGAUAAAUAAUUUGAUGAUUUAAUUGAUAGAUUAUGAUGGCCUGGAAUUUAAACAUACAGGAAAAUUAAAAAGUCAUGAUAAAAUCUAGGCUAUCUAGCUUUAAUAAAUUAUUGAUAAAACUUUACAUUCCAAUUGUAAUUGCAGCAGACAAGAAGCAAUCAACAUAAAUUAAAAUUAACUGAUCAGUCUUGUUGUUGACUGUUUAAUCGCAAGAUCGGAAAAAAAAAAUUAAAAAGAAAGACAAAAAUUAUGGGGUGUACGUAGUUGCAUGCUGGCUCCUUAAUUAAAUAUAAUUAAUUAAUUAAUUAACAUCAUAUCCUCUUGGUUGAAGUUUAUUAUUUAUUAAUUAAAUUAACUAAUUAAGAGGGAAAAGAAAAAGGAAAUUAAUCAAGUGAGUCGCUUCGACGAGGAGCAGUAGCAGUCGGUCUACUGAGACCGCGACCAUUGCAAUUGUAGUAGGAGCUACCAGGAGCAUCGCAGGGAACAGAGUUGCCUUCUAGGGCUCCAUAACUGCUGUACCACGUUCCCAGAAGCUGACGGCGGCUGUCCUCCGUUGGCAUCAACAUCUCAUUCGGAUCUUCAACACGGUUUAUGUUGUUGAUCCGUCCCCAGCUUGAGCUGCCGUGUGCACUGGAAUCCACCACUGCCGCCGCCACCAUGAACAGCAUCAUAACCACCUUUAAAUUCAUUCUUUCUUCCUUGUCGAUCUUUACUAUUAUAAAUAUGAUGUUGUUUCAUUUAACACACGUAGAAACAUGAAAUACGAUCCAUCACUCUUAAUGAUUCAGCUCGCCCUUCCUCUACUUUCCGGAUGAUUUUUGUGGUUCUUAAAUUUUUAGGUUUAACGUGAAUUAAGGGCAGUCGCAGUCCGUUUCUUUCUCCUUGUUUUUCUCUUUCAUUUUUUUUUUAAAUCCAUUUUGUUGGUUCUGUUUUUCCCAAUAUUAGUGUUCUAGAUUAUAGUGGUGCGCAGAUGACUGGAUCCCGCCCUGGUGAAAGACAAAUUGGUGCCCAAACAAGCCCAUAUAUUUUUUUUAUUUGACAGUGCAUAUUGACGUUUUUCUUUUCUUCUGUAAAAUAUUCAAAUUUUGUACAUAUUUAUCCAUCUAAAUAAAUUAAUGGAGUAGACCCUGACUUUUUCAUUUUAGAAAUCAUUUGGCGACAGCAAACUACAGUAAAUUUAUAAAAUAAUAUCUUCCCCACAAUUUUUCCAAGUUCGUGAAGUAAAGUUUUCUCGUACACUAUAUAUAUAAUGUGAAGUGGUUGACUGAUCGGCCCUUGGUGAAUGCAACAGCAAGUUCUCCCUUGUACCCCACCAUUAGAUAUUUUCAUUUCUUCUCUUUUUUUAAUUAUGUUUUCUUAAGUUAUAUAUAGUACAUUCAUAGAAUUAUAGCAUCAAUUGAAACAUAAAUUAAUUAUCUCAACUCAAAAAACAAAACAACAGUGACAUUUACAAGAAUAAAAUGAGUCUCAUUUAAUGAAUUUUUUGAAACAUAUUACAUUAAAAAUAAUACAAUCAAUUAACGAUAGUAUGAAAUAUGCAGUUGAAUUUAAUAUAACCAUCAUUUAGAUGAUAAUUUUUAAAAUAAAUACACACAUGAUAAGACAUCGUUGUAUGACAAGCAUAGUAUGUUUUAAUUUCAAAAAUUUCUCAUUCAUGACAACUUUAAUUUCUAGCUCUUCAAUUAAUUAAUGAAAAAUAAUAAUAAUCUUGCUCUUCAAACAUCGAAAAGUGUUGGGCACGAGGCCGAGGAAUGACCUAAUUGGCCGCAAUCUCCUCAUUCACAAAAAUUCUAAAAUACAUCAAAGGUAGUAUACCAAUUAUACAACAAGCAAAUGAUUUUAUAACCGUAUGUAUUUAUUUUAAAAAAUCAUCAUAUAAAUAAUGAUUAUAUUAAAUUUAAAUACACAUGUUAUACAUGCAUUGAUGAGUUGUAUUAUCUUCGAUGUAGUCUAGGAUUUCUCCUCAUUUUUUUACGAUUUUUCUUCAAUAAAAUCACUGUAAAUUGUAGGAAUUUUAUUUAAAAAUUUUUUUGCCUAAAAUCUCUUGUAAAAUUAUUAGAAAUGGAAGAACUAGGAGGCUGAAAUCCUCCUCAUCAAAGAGGGGGGAAAAAAAGAAGAAGGAAGAAGGUGAAAUCCUCGCUGGCUGAAUCCCACCGAAGUCAAGCAUGCAUGAUAUAGAGCAAUAAAUGAGCUUUGAAUACAGAUUGAAAUAUUUCAAAUCAGAAACCUAACAACAACUACGUAGACCCAUUUUCAUGCUCGCUUUAUUUGACUUGCUAUGCAUUAACUUGAUAAUUAUAUUGCUCAUUCUCCGUUUAGGGUGGUUCCUGAAGGCUAAUAAUAGAAUAAUUUAUGACAAGAUGGGUGCAAUUUGAGCUUUUAAAAUAUCCCAUCACCAUUAUCAUUUGCAUGAAAUGGUCUUCGUGAGGGACCCAAGAGUCGUGCAUUACACGACAUGCACUGUGGGAGAGCUUUUCUUUUUCCACGGAGACUGUGACUUCAGCUGAGAUUAAUGCUAAUAUAUGAGCAGUCUCGAAUCUCUUUUCGUGGGCUCGGUGAUCAACAAGAUUGACAGGCCGUUCAAGCUGCUGAUUGUAAUUGGUUUUACUAGAUGAUUUUAAAAGAUCAGUUUCUUCUUUAUUCAAUACGAGAUCUUAAUAGUAAUCCUUCCUUCAAAUUAAUGUUAUAUGCAUUAUUUAUUAUAUACAACAAAAUAAGGAUAUCAAAAGUGAGAAAGUUCAUGAAGAGAGAGACAUUGCUUUUGUGAUAUAUUUGAUAUCAUAAGCUUUUUGUUCAUAUCCGUUCAAUUAAAAGCACCAAUUAUAGUUGAUUUUGUACGCAUGUGAGAGUAACAAGACCCCCCAACCAACCCACAAAAACGAGCCACUUCGAUCAGUACACAUGUGCGGCUAGGCCCCCCUUAUUUUAUCCUUGUGGAAAUGCACCAAAUACCUUAUGCCCCAUCAUAUUAAAUUGCUCCAACAUCAAGAUCAAACCAAGACAAUCACUCAAUUUCAAAUAAUAGAAUAAUAAUUUUCAAUUUCAACUUAUAUUUUAAAAUAAAAAGAGAUAAACUUAACUAAUAAUAACAUCAUUUAAUGGCGUCAACGUUUUGUUUUAACAGGCAAAAGGAGAUGAAAGCUAUCUUAUUCCCUUAAUAUUUAACUUUAAAUGGGGUGUCUUUACAAACUUUAGAAUAUAUCAACCUGAUUAAAAGAUGGGCUUAGCUUAGACCACAAGUGAUCCGCUCCAGGCCUCCAACUUUCAGAAAAACAUAUAGGAUUUUGAGUGUGUGACGGCAGAUUACUUUAAUUUUAUUCCUCUCUUGUUGAUUUAUUGAAAAAAAAAACAUUUGAUGAAUAAUAUCGUCCAUUUUAUGAUGUACAAGUGAUAUAAUUUUAUGUAAGGAGUAGUAAAAUUCUGUAUUAAUCACAUAAUAGCAUGUGAUGGUAACAAUUCCAUAAUUUCUCGUCGGUCAAUCAAAUAUUAUCGUGCACCAGGGUUGCUCGUGAUUCAUGAACAAUGCAAUACCCGCUACAUCACUAUUUCUUCAAUUAUUAAGAAUUUUUAAGUUAUAUUUUAAUAAAAAAAAGAAAUUAAAAAAAAAAAUUUAUUGGGUUAGAUAAUAGAUAGUCUUUGCAAUUGAGUUUCAUCAUCAGCCACCUUUUACUUUGUCUGUUUCACAACUGAGCAAAGUACAGGUGGCCCGUGGUUUUUAAUUCUUCUUGCUGCUUCAAUUUUCUCCUCUCUCUCUCUGUCUUAUGUGUGUUUGGCUAGUUUGUUCUUUGUUUCUGCUCCGAACAUUUGCUGUAAGUUACUAACUUUGAUGAGGCUUUUUGUUCUUCCUGUUGUUCAAUGUUUGUAUCUGUGCAUGUGCUUCAGGUGUUCUGUUUCUUUCACGAAUUCUCUUUCUCUGAUCCGCGAAGACUGCAAAUUCUUAGCUUUUUGCUGCCUUUGUUGCUUAAUUUGAUAUGGGUUCUUUUCAAUGUUGCUUUUGGUGGGGUUAUUAAUUUGUUUUCUUCAACUUUCAUGGCUGACCUUCCGCCUUUGUGUGUCUGCAAAAUUCUCAACUUUCAGUUUAUGUGGGUUUCAAAUUUACUUGUUCUUGCUCAGGAAGGAUGUUAUUGUUUGUCUUAUGGAUUUGUCUUUGUUGGAUUUAUUUGUGGGUAGUAGAAAUAUGUUGUCUGUUCAGAUAAUUAUGAUCACACGAAGUUAAAAACUUGUUGGUAUGAGAAUGAGCAGUUAUUGCUUUAGAGCUUAUAUUGUUUGUUCCGAGUUUCUCUCAUUAACAUCCUUCAAUGAUCUUCUUCUUGGUGAAUUGUGUACUUCAGAAGGGUUAAGUUUCUUUCUUGUUUUAUUAUUAUUAUUAUUAUUAUUAUUUUUAAUAUAUCUUCUUAGUUGUUAAUUGGAAAAUUAUCCAGAAUUUUAAUUGAUCCUUAAAUUUUGGGAAAUGUUACAUUUUUGGAGUUGUUUGGUUAUGUUUGUGCAUAUUAACAAUGAUCGCCUGUAGAAUUAGGACCUUUUCUAAAGCUUUUGCUUAAGAUGCCCAAUUCACCCAAAAUAUUGGGAAUACAACUGGGUCUAUUUUUGUGUUUUGUGCUAAGAUGACAAGUUUAAUUGUUACUAUUGCAAUUGUUCUGAGGUACUCACAUCUUCCUAAAGAAUGGAUGGCAAUGUUUGAUGCCAUUGAUCAAAUUCACCUCCAUGUGAAGAAUUUUGGCAUACUUUUAAUCAGUUGGCUCUUUCAGAUGACCUUUUGUUUUCUUUGAACUGGAACUUUAAACGUACAACCAAAAAAAAGGACAAAGACAGGCUUAUUGUGCUUAUCAGAUUUUUUAGUCUUAAAUUUGUUUCCAGCCUUCAUUCUCUAAUGGUUUGCACCAUUAAUUGACAGGCUGAUGUGCUGUGAAUGUUCUCAUUCCGCUCUGAAAAGAAGAAAUAGCUCUUGAAGAAGUUCUCCAGUUGUAAUCAUGAGCAGCAAUUCACAUCUUCCCCUUAUAUAUAAGAAAGGAAAACCCAAUCUUCUAGUUGAGGUAAAAAAAGAUUUGGACUGUAGUUGCAUCUGAUCGUUUAUUUAUUUAUUUAUUUUAAUAUCUUCUUGCUUGAGUUUAUUCUUAACAAAUUUUAUUGGUUUUCAGGUUGCCAAUACAGAUAAACAGUUAGUUACGUUGAUCCAUUCCAAAGGAUUACUGUGCCCUGAAGUUCAAGAAUUGUACCACAGAGUCUGCUCAAGCUAUGAGAAAAUUCUUCUAAAUGAUUAUGAUCAGGCAGAGCUUCAAGAUGUUGAAUAUUCUUUGUGGAAGCUUCAGUAUAGGCACAUCGAUGAAUUUCGGAAAAGAAUAAAGAAAAGCUCUGUUUCAGAUAAUACAAUGACGCAAAGUGGUGCUAACGUGCAGAGAAGCAGUGACAAUCAUAUAGAAGGAUUCAAAUCUUUUUUGUCGGAAGCAAUGGCAUUUUAUCGUAAUCUGGUAGUUAAAAUUAAAAGAUAUUAUGGGCUUCCAGAAGAAUCUUCCUUCGCUAAGGAAGGUUAUAUGUCAACUACUCUUGAACCAAACAAAAAGCAGAAAUACCAGUUUUUAUGCCAUCGCUUUUUAGUUUGCCUUGGGGAUCUUGCUAGAUACAAAGAACAGUAUGAAAACUUUGGUGCUCAGGAACAUAACUGGUCAGUUGCAGUUUCCCACUACUUGGAAGCUACAAUGAUUUGGCCAGAUAGUGGAAACCCUCAGAACCAGGUAAUUUCAUUUUCUUUUCUGAACUUGGGAUCUAUAAUCCCUAUGUUGAACUUUGUUUCUUUACAAAAUGUAUGUAUGUAUGUAUGUAUGUUGUAUGUAUGUGUGUGUGUGUGUGUGUGUGUGUGUGUGUGUGUGUGUGUGUAAUUUCAAAUGCUUCUACUUCCGUUCUAUACAUGUAACCAUGUGUAUAUGUAGUUGGCAGUGUUGGCAACAUAUGUCGGUGAUGAGUUCCUUGCAUUGUAUCAUUGUGUACGGAGUUUAGCAGUUAAAGAACCUUUCCCUGAUGCCUGGAAUAACCUCAUUUUGCUUUUUGAAAGGGUACGAGUUGAGAUCCUUUCCCCAUUAUUACCAGAUUAAGUUUAGCAAAUUUUUAUCCUUCUUUAUUUUAAUUUCUGAUAUCCAGUUGUUCGCAUCUCUCAACGGUUCUUAUAAUAUUGCAGAACAGGUCAUCUGAUUUGCAUUCCCUUUCUAUGGAGGCCCACUUUGAUUUCUCAAAACCAUCUGAAAGAAGCAGCAAUCAGAUCAAAUCACAAUCAAGAGAUGGUUUUUCAAAUUGCAAUAUGUUGAAAGCUGAACAUGAUUGCUUUAAGGAAACAAAUUUAUGGUCACUUAUCAUCAGAACAAUAAGCUUCUUUUUCAUAAAAUCCAGGUAUUCCUUGUUGCACAUUUUCUUAUGAUCCAGUUGUGAAUUUGCUCAUGGGUGGUGAUUCGUGUAACAAGUUUUAUUUAUGUGUUCGCGCACGUGUGUGUAAAGGCUGUACAUUUCAUUUUCUGAUAUUGAUUGUUCUCCAUUCCCUUCCUGUGCUAGUUGCUUUAAGCCUUCACUGGAAUAUCUAUUUGGUUCCUUUAUCAAAAUUCAUGUUUUAUUAACUUAAAACACUUUAGCUGUCCACUAAUUUGAAUAUUAUGGAGAAAACCUAAACACAACCCAGCAUUAGAUUGUGGGUCGGGGUAUAUUCAUAUUUAGCUUAUUUCUUAUGUUUUCUGCACCUUUUGGAUGGGAGGCAGUUUGGAGGAUUUCCCUUACACUUUUGCUUCUACCAUGAGAGAGUUGGAUGCGGCAAUGGAAUUAGAUGAUGCAAAACUAAAAGCCAUGCUGGAAUCCUAUCAGCUUAUGGAUUCAGCUAGAACAGGCCCUUUCCGAGCACUUCAAGUUGUUUCUAUAUUCAUUUUUACCAUUGAGAAUCUGAUUAAUGCCCCAGAAAUAAAAGGAUCGAAAGACAAAAAUGAUAUGCAGCAGCUGGAGUUUAUACGGUGGGCAUUAUCUGCUACAUUCAUUUUCAUGGGACGCCUAGUUGAAAGGUGUUUGAAGUCAAAUAGCUUGGACUCUAGCCCUCUUUUAUCUUCUGUACUUGUUUUUGUGGAGUGGUUGGUGGGCAUACUUGAGCAAGCUGAAUCAUAUGCGUCAGAUGGUAAAAGUAGAAGUGCUAUGUCUUACUUUUUUGGUGCUUUUGUUGGCCUUUUGAAGCAGCUCAAUGCUAGGAGUGAGGUCUCAUCUCCCAAAAAGACUGCUCUGUGGGAAGACUAUGAGUUGAGGGGCUUUGCACCAGUAUUGUGUUCGCACCAGUCAUUAGAUUUCUCAGUGCAUUUUGGACAUAUAAAGAGUUUUGAAGCUGGCAUUGAAUGUCGUGCUGAUCGUGUCAUUAAUGCUGCAAUGAAGAUUGCAAACAGAUCAAAUGGUUCUCAAAAGUGGAUCAUCUAUGACAAAAUAGGAAUGAGAUUCUCUGUGGCAGUUUCAAAUGUGAAUGCAGACACAAGCAACUCAGAAUUUGAGUUGACCAAUGAUCUUAAAGUGAAAGAGGCCCAUCAGUCUAUAUCCAAGUCAACUGAGGAAUAUGAAAAACAGAUACUGGAAGAAAAUGAGACUAGCCCUUCUGUGCUAGGAGAAUCUGCUGCCAUGGAAGAGGAAGAAGUCAUUGUCUUCAAGCCUCUUACAAGAUAUAAUUCUGCACCACUCUAUGCUUCUGUUCAUACUAAGGACUCAGAAUCUCCAAAUGACACAGAGGAGCAAACAGUGCCACCUGAUGAAUGCUUACGCCGUGCCACCUCACUCCUUAUAGCACAAAACCAGUCACAGGAUGAUCCUUUGGGGUUCCAUUCUGACAUCACUAAUUUCAGGCCCAGCAAACCGUUUAAGCAGCAGGAGCCUCCUGUAAAGGAAACUGGAGCAUCCUCAUUUUCUCCAACUGCCAUAUCUGCUGGGCCUCCCUCUCUCAGUUCUUGGGUCUUCAAUAGAGGAAGUGGCAAUAAUGAUAGAGAAAAAGGGAGAAGUGACACGAGUAUACCUGGCUUGAGCCCCAUUGAGGAAAUAGCUUCUGCAUCCUUAUCUGGUCUCACCAUUGGUCAAACUAAGGAUUCUGUUAUAAGUUCUGGGCAAACUUAUGCGAGCAGCAAUUACAGUUCUCCAUAUUCAGCUCCAGUGCCUUCUGCUCCUUUAUUGCCUGAGAAUGCUUCUUGGUUUAAUGAUGUGCAACCCAGUUCAUAUGAAUUCAAGAACUUGGAGGGCAUCAACCGAACAAAUAACUUGUCUGAUGCAUCAGCGUUGAGUAGUUAUCCAAAUUUGAACUCUACUCAUGAUCAUUAUAAUUAUGAUUAUGCUGUUCCAGGUUUCAUGAAUGGAUACCCACCAUUCCGUGGAAUGACUUCUUCUGAAUGGCUUCGCCAGUACAGAGAAAACCACAAUCUUGACUGGACCAAUAGCUAUUCAUGGCCCCUUCAUCACUACGCUCCCAGGAACUCAGGCAACUUCCAUAAUCAAGAUGCUUCCAUGCUCAAUCUUCGUGAUCAUUGGCAAGUUCCGCUGGCUUCAAACCAAAUGAUUUAUCCUGAGAGCCAAUUGUUGCAUCCGGGUUUUCCCCAAGUUCAUGCAGCAGAUGAACACAGAAGAGAUAAACUAUUUCCCGAUUACCAGAGGCCAACCGCUUAUGGCUGCGGCGUCGCAACAGACUUUAGAGAUGAGCCACAGCCUCUUUUGCAGUAUCUUAAAGAGAAAGAAUGGCUGUUGCAGCGGGAUCCAACAGGGAGAGGUCCUUAUAUGGGAAACUGAAAUGUUCAUACAUCAUUAACUUGUUGAUACAAGCACGCAACACGACUGAUACCAUUCUCGUAGACCUGAGAUUGAAUUUGAUGAAAGUUAACCAAGUAUGUAUUAUGAUUGUAUAUGUCAAUAUGCACGUCCCAGUGUGAUAUCUGAAAUGGGUGUUCAAGGAAAGUUUUAUAGAGAAAAUCUAGCUGAAGCUGUCCACAGAUGUUGUAUGUUUGUUUAAUAAUGAUGUUAACACUCUUACUGAUCAAAUUUUUUAUUUUGCUCUAUCCUUCAAUAUCAUAAUUGACAUCGACUGAUGAACAUGCACAACUGAAAUUCCACCGGAUUUGUGUGUGGUUGCUUUCUACCUCAUCCUGACAACGCUCAUACUACAGGACCCCUCCCCUGCCUCACAGAUAGAUAGAAGAACGUCGGUAAUAAGACUAUGCUAGAAAGGACAAAUGCAGGUAGCAAAAAUUUAACCAAAAAAUUACCUAAUUUUACAUAAAAUUGAAUCUGAAUUUGAUCUGAGAUUAGAUUAUUUAUCCAGUGCAAACUGGUUUGCAAUUACGGUAUAAGAAAACGAGGAAUGCUAAUCCUGACUCUUUAAGUUUUGUCUUAUUUUAUUUAUUCUUUGACAUUAUGAUUAAGUACGGAUAAGUGGAUAACAAAUUUAUUUAUUCGGGUGAUACCUCUUUUAUCCUUAUAAUAAUAAUAAUAAUUAAUGGAGUUUACUACUUUACACUUAUCGUAAGAUACAAUUUUCUCACAACUGCGCCGUGAGACUUACGACUGAUUAUUAUUUUUAUGAAAGGGCUCUACCACAGCACAAUUGUGAGAGAAUUGUACCUUAGGAUAACAGUAAGGCAGCCACUCCCUUAAUGAACACACACAGUCUAAUUAUUCACAAUUUAUCGAUAUAUAAUUAAUUUUUUAAAAAAAUAAAAAACCAAAUAUAAACUUGCAUCAUCGCAUGGUAUGCUAUGUCGGACAGUUUGCCGAAAGAAGACCAAUAAAGACAUAAUUGGGCCUGCAAUGCAAAACGGUUGAGCCCAAAUUAACAUCGGAUCUUUCUUACUCUCUCUGCUUCUCCGUCGCCUCAAAGUGCAAGCGCGAAAAAGUGGGUGGAAGUGGAGCUUGCGUUGCGUAGAUCUGAACUUAUUUAUUUUUGGUAAGGAGGUUUAAUACUUAAUUUUUAUAUAAGAACAGAAUUUAUUUCUAAGUCUUUUUUAUUUUCAGUUUUAGGUCAAGCCAACUUUGACUAGAAUCCCGUUACCGUGAUCUAUCGACUGCAUUUAAUUAAUUUAAAAAGAAGAAGAAGAAGAAGAAGAAAGCUCAGGCGAAAGAUGGAAACCCAUAAAGGCAAAGCAGAUGUAUCCUCGGCAGAAGCUGUCUUCCUUGGAGCUCUGGCACCUGGUGUUAAUGUCCGUAUUAUUCUUAAUAUUAGUUUCUUCUCCGAAAGCUAUAUUACUGAUAUUUUUGUUUUUUCCAUCUGAUGCUGAUCUAAUGAGUCAACAUUGGGUUUUUUUGUUUUCAGGGUCCCACAUGGACAACGCUAAAAUCGGCGUUUGUGAUGCUGGGUGUGUGUCUUGCUGUUAUGUUUGGAUUAGCAUUCUCUUCAAGCGACUCUUCACUGAUUCUUCAUGUUGGGUUUUUGCUCCUAAUUGCUCUCACCCUCUUUUUUCUUCUUAGCUGGUAUUCUUCUUAUUUUCUACUCACUCUCUCUAUUUUCUCAACUGUUUAUUUUAUUUUUAUAUUUUUAGGCAUGCCUUGUUAACAACUUUCUCGGGUGGUAUGUUUGUUGUUAUUGCUUCAACUUCUUUGAGUUUGCUAUUAUGUACAGUACAUAAUAGCAUUAGCUUUUGUUGAUUACUAUUAUCAGGAUUUGUAGUAAUAGGCUGCAGAAGCAUACACCGGAACUUUUUUUUAGGAAAUUGAGAUUCCUCCAAGUUCACUCUUAAGUAAUUUGUCAAGCUAUAAAUUAAUAGACAAAUUAAAUAGAGAAUACACUAAUCAGACAACACAAGAUUUAUGUGAAAAAAUUCAACUCCUGAUAAAGACACGGCCGUUAUCAAAAGACAACAAGAGAAAAAAUAAUCAUUAUGUAAAAAAUUAUUACAACCACAUUCUUAUAAAUAAUUUUCUUUCACCCAAACCCAAAGUACAUGAUCCCAAGAAAUAUUCCUUGACAAAGUAAACCCGUAAUACCCACAUUGAGGAGCCAAAUGCUCCUAUAAUAUAUCUACAUGCUUGAGAAUAUAUAUAUAUUUUUUUUCCAUUUUGAAAGCCCGAAUACUUCCCUUGCAUUCACCGAUUGAAUGCUUUCAAUUUUUGGGAUAAAAUGCUCUUCUUUCUCUCUUCCUUUUAUAGGCAAAACUUUCCUACAAUCAAGGCAAGUGGCUGAAAUGUUUGAAACAUUUCAGCCACUUUUCAAAGUUUUCAAAGGCACCGAAAUCGGCGGCUGCCUUUCGUGACUUUUACCACCGUUAGGAAAUUGAGAUUCCUCCUAGAAUCAUCCCAAGCAAUUUGUCAAGAAACAAAUUAAUAGAAAAAUUAAAUGGAGAACAAUAUCAAUCUCACAACACAAAAUUUACGUGGAAACUCCAAUUCCGGAGAAAAACCACGAUUGUUGUCAAAAGACAAUAUGAGAAAAAUAUUCACUAUCUGGAAAAUUAUUAUAACUACGCUUUCAGAAAUAAUUUUCUCUCACGCAAACCCCAAAUACAUGAUCCUGAGAAAUAUUCCUUGACAAAACAAACCCGCGAUAUACAUAUUGAGGGGCCAAAUACUCCUACAAUAUAUCUAUAUACUUAAGAAUAUUUCUCUCCAUUUUGAAAGCCGGAAUGUUUCUCUUGCAUUCACCAAUUGAAUGCUUUGAAUUUGAAAUGACAAGCUCUCAAAUGAGAACUUUUUUGGUAGGCAAAAUUUGCCUAAAAAAUUAAGCCAAGUGGCUGAAAUGUUCAAAUAUUUCAGCUAUUUUUCAAGAUUCAAAAGAGACAGCCACCAAAUUCGGUGGCUGUCAUUCUUGACAUUUUUUUCAAUAUUUUCUUUAACAAUCUCCACUAUGAUUUAAAAAAAAAAAAAUUACUGCCACUACUGCUAUCACCGAUGAUCAUAAUUUUCAAUAUAGAGAAUUAUCGUACUCCACUAUAAAAGAUAUACUCACUUAGAAUUAAUUAUUAAUUCCAAGAGUUUUACAUCGGCGCAUGUAGUGGUAGUUAUGUUUUUCUUUUUUAAUCACGGUGGAGAUUGUUGAAAAAAUUGAGUUAAAAAAAGGUCAAGAAUAGCAGCCACCGAAUUCGGUGGCUACCUCUUUUGAAUCUUGGAAAGUUUAGGUAAAUUUUAUGUAUAAAACAAGCUCUCAUUUGGUGAAUCCUUGAGAAGCAUUCGAAAUCUAGAGAACUGAGUAAUUUAAUGCAAGUUAAACAUUAAGUGAGUAAUAGGAAUUUACAUAGUGAAUAUUUUUCUCUGGUUGUCUUUUGACAACAACCAUGGUUUUUCUUCGGAUUUAGAGUUUUCCACGUAAAUCUUGUGUUGUGAGAUUGAUAUUGUUUUACAUUUGAUUUUUCUAUUUAUUUGUUGCUUGACAAAUUACUUGGAGUGAUCUUGGAAGGAAUAUCAAUUUCCUAGCAGUUCAAUUUUCAACACCUUUAGGGGCAAUUGUGCGAAGAGUGGGAACUUUCAUUCUAAAAGAUUGCAAGCUCCCACUUGUAAGCUUGUGGGCAUAAUGCAUUUCUGCAUCUAGAGUCUUUUGUGCAUGAAGCAUUUAAGGAUUGAAGGUUCAUCAGUGUCAGUUAACAUGCAAAUGAUUUAUGAUUUAUAAGUGCAAUAUCUUUCAGAAUUUGUGCACUUGCAUGUGCUUGUUGGAAGCAAGUGAAUGCUCUUUGUUCUUUUGUGAGGUUGCUGCUUCACAAAUAUAUGCUUUGCUUUUUUAUCCUUCAUUUUUUAUAGGCUUUUUUUUUUUCCUUUCUUUUGGUGCCACUGACUAUUAUGUGGAAGCUCUUGGAACUUGGAAGUGUCAUGACAAACAAAUCAUGUUUUCAGAGGAACAUGUCAAAGCGCUACCCACAGCCACUGUGCUGUCUAGGAAAAUUUAUGAGGUUGCUUUCUAGAAAUAAUUCAAAAUUUUACUCUCUAUUUUUCAUUCUGUGCUUAUUUUAAGUAUGAAUUUGGUUCUUGUUGAAGAGUUAUUUUUCAAAUAUGCUGAUUUCUCUUGGCAUGCUACUAAUUAUGUGGCCAUUUUCCUUGAGACUAUUAUGCAUAAAGUUUGGAGAAUCUCUUACAUGACUGGCUGUUGGAAGACUGAAAACAAAAAUCCAAAAAUAUUCUCUUAUGUUUUGGAAUUGCACUUUAAAAACGCAUUUUGCUAUCCUGUGCUGUCAAUUCUAUGUAACCGCAUGGUGUUGUAAAUCAAGUUUGACACAAAAACUGUCAUUAGCUGGUUGUCCAUUCCAGCUUAAAACAUUCAUAACCUUAUCUCUCUCGAUUUUUUAGCAUCAAUUUACAUAUUUCUUUUUGCAGCUUAACAGUUCAUACCUGCAGGAAUCCUGAGUCAUUGUAGCCUUAUGCCUUUAGGUGUAAUGUUGUCUAGUCAAUGAUUAUAUGCUGCUAGAUCCUGGGGCAUAGAUUCUUUUGACUUAUGCAUGAUGAUUGCUGGAGCAGUUAUAUGGCUGAUGGGUAAUUAGAAUUGAGUUCUUUGCUUGUGUAUAUAUGGGGUUUCUCUGUUCUUGUAAUUGUUGGUUUCUUGAUAUCAGGUUAGUUUAAUAUGUAGAUUAUGACAUAAUCUGAUAUCAGGAUGCUAAAGAAAUGAUUUAUUAGCAAGGAAAACUGAAUACUCAGAUUUUAUUCCAGUGAAUUCCAGCACUGCUAUUAUUUAUGUGCAGCUGUGUAAAAUAUAUUAAAAAAAAAAAGAUAAAAUGGGAAAGAACCUUGGUCAUUCUAAUAUUCUGCUAUGCUGUUUGUGCCUUCUAGAUGCAUGUGGAUUUUAUAUAUUCUUUUUUUUUUUUUUGAGACCAUUUGGAUGAGCAUACUGAUAUCUCAAAUCAUGACUUGUUGAAAUUUCCUCAGGUUUCUUGCGCAGACUGGUCUGGUUUCAGUUGAACAUCAAAUGCAGGAGAUGAACUUGAUGCCAAAUGAUCAUCAGAGAAGCAAUAAAGGGGAAUAAUUUUGCUCAGAAUAUUUCUAUAGCAUUUCAAAUGAAGACAUCAGUAACAAAGGGCACACAAACAGUUUAAAUGAAAAGAUAGAGACAAACAUUUUCUGAUGCAUUCAUCUUGAAAGAAAUGAGAAGAAGAGGUUGAAAGGAAAGAAGUGAAUCCGGGCGGUUUGUGCUUACUUUUUGAGGAUAAUCACGGUGCAUGUAACUAACUGAUUGUGUUAGUCAUGCUUUGCUUCUUUCUCCUUGUGGUUGUGCUUGUCCUUUUUGCCCUUGAUGAAGCAGAAGCACGAGCAGCAAGGCAGCUGAAGAAGGAACUUCAUAUCUUUGGUAUCACUGAUUAUUUCAAUUGUUUCGAAAACCAACAAGUAUAUAAACUGUAAAGCUUCAGCAAUAGUAUUCUUAUUCCUUGUUAACUUUAUUCACUCAUGUUCCCGGAUGCCAUUCCCAUCUCUUACAGAUAACAAGAUGCCUAACUUCUUUAUUUCCGUAUUCCUGGCCAUUGGCUCUCUCCUAUGCUUAAAUUUGAGGGUCAUGUUGACAUUUGCAGUUAUUUUUCUGAGAAAAAAGAAAAGAAAAAGAAAAAGAAAAAGAAGCUGCUUUAAUGUUUGUCUUCUUCGUGAAAAAGCUUCAUGAUAAAGAAGUUACGAGGCUAUAUUCCAAUUUCCAAAGGAAGCCACGAAUAAAGUGACUUGAAAAAACCGUUUGUUCUCCUGGAAGGGCUAUCGAAAAAUGGAUUAACAGUGGGAUGAAAGUUUGUGAACUCAUCGAAAUCAACCAACUAACAAGAAGCCCGCCGUAGAGAUUCAUUUUAAAAUUAAUUAAUUACGAUUGUAAUUAGAGUAAACGGGAUAAUAUUUUUAUUGGGGUGAUUUCACGGGCCAAUUUUUUCUUUAAUUUAUCAUAUACAUCCGAACGUACACAUAAACAAAAACAAAUGAACGAAUAAAUGCUUCUAUCAUUUUAAUGAUAGCGUUGUACUAAAUGCCCAUUCGUAGCGCAUUUAUAUUAUAAUUAGGUGUUAAUUACGCGUUGAGCUGGCCAAAUCUGCCCACGAAAGAUGACAAAUACUUGCCAUGUAUGAUUUUUUAUUACCAUUUUUACACAGAAUGAACAGUCAUUGUAGAUAAUUAUUGACAAUCUAGAACCCAAAAAAAAGAGAAAAAAAAAAGAAAAAGAAAAUCUAACUUUCGGUGAAGGUUAUUGGUUAAAAUAUCAUUAAGAUUAAUUCGGCCCACAAAAAAAAAAUUGGUAUAUUCAAAGAAAAAAAAUCAAAAUUAUUGUUUUUCAAAGAAAAAAUUAUUGAUUAUCACAAAUAUAUGAAGGAUAAAACUGUGGUACAACUGUGGUACCGUGCCACAGUUGCACCCAAUCGUUAGAUUCCCACUUAUUUAAGUGGACCUCACUUAUUUAAGUAGAUCUAACGACUGGUACAACUGUAAUAUGAUACCACAAUUAUACUGUAGCCUGACCCAUAUAUGAAAGUCUAUUUCCUUUUAUUAGAAUUUAGAAGCAAGAAAGUUGUGGGGCCUGGGCCGAAUUAUUUUGAUCAAUAAAGAAAUUCGAAAAUAAUAAUAAUAAUAAUGAAAAAGAAAAAAAGAAAAAAAGAAAAAGAAAAAGAAAGAUAGGCGCAUCGGCCGUACAUAUGCAAAAGAAAGAAAGCGCUCUUUUCGUUGGCCUACUAUGUGUACUCCCCUUUUUGUUUCUUUUAUCACCAGAAAAUUAAAAAGCCAAUUAUUUGACCCUUUUCUCUGUUAAUUUCUGCCUUUUUGCAUGGCAAUGUCACUUGCUACUUAGCUAGUUCAGGCACCGCCCCCUGUCUCUUUCUUUAUAUUCAGUUUCUUCAUAUUGAUGUUAAAUCUCAAGAUUCACUGCAGGAAUUAAUAAUCUUUUAUCUGUUUUUGGUCACCACUUGAAUCCUUGUGUAUGUUUUAUAUAUGUGUACAAACGGUAGAAGUUGUUUCUUUGAGAUUUUUCUUCUGAUCGUUUUUCUUUUCCCGUUUGGUUUUGUCUAGUGAAGGUGAUCAUGGCUUCAAAUAGCGGUUUUGAUGCCCAAAGGAUGUUAGUUUUCUAGCUCCAAUGGUGUCUUGGCUUUGUGUGAUGGCGGCCGGGAUCUUCUUGUUUUCUUUUUCUUGUUCUUCCUAUUGUUGCUUGUCAUGUUUCUUUUAUUUACUGCUUGAUUUUGGUUUAUGAUUGGAGGUUACAGGCUUGAACUCUACUUGCACGAUUAUUUUGUGAAGCAUAACAUGCAUGAGACUGCUGAGACUUUCAGAAAAGAGGUCAAUGUCGAAGCCAGCCAUUCUGUUGGUACAUGUCCUUGUUCAAAUUUUCUUUUUUCCUUGUAAGAAUUUGGUGUGCUUUUAUGAAUUUACUGAUUUAAUUUGUAAUCAAGAUGCACUCUUACUGCUGAUCAUGUCAAAUUUUGUUUGAGCGUGUGGGCCCCUUUUUAAUAGGGUUAUUGUUCGCUUUGUUUCUGUGCUGUUACCACUUUUUCUUUCCUUGCUUUUAUAUUUUGUCUUUCUUUAGGAGUGUAGGAAAAUUGGUUAUCUUAUGUACACAGUCUAAGAAUUGAUUCAACUUUCGCUUUGAUAUGGUUUUUGUUGAUGUAGUUCUCAUUUUAAUUGAUGGAGGGCUUAUAUUGCUCAAUAUUUGUAAUCUAUUGGAUCUGUUGGAACAUUCAUGGUCAUGUUGAUUUUCACCUUAUUUUCAUUAACAUUGUGAUUGUUGACUGGAAGUUGCGGGAUGUUGUUUCAGCUAUUGAUGUUCCUGAUGGGUUCUUACAUGAAUGGUGGUGCAUAUUUUAUGACUUUGCUGCUCAGCUAAAGCAUCAGGAAUCCAAUACUGAGACUUCUUCUGAGGUGAUACUUUGUUUACUUGAAGUCCUGUUGUUUUGUUUUGUGACUGUAAGAAUGUGGAUUCUAUGGGUUCUAUUUUUAAUUUCCAGGUUACAUAUAUGACUGAGAAUCAACCACUUCAUCCCAUGGUGCCACAGUUAGCAUUGGAUCAGCAAAGGCCUAGACAGUUUCCAAGGAGUGCUGACCUUGAUUCGAUGAUUGGGGAACCAUCUCUGUUGGCUGCAAAAUUUCAAGAGGAAGAGCAAUUUAGGCGCUCUAUGUGAGAUUACAAUUCCAAUUAUGGUUUCUCAAAGCUAAUAAUAUGAAUCUUUUAAUACAUUGCCCUUCCCCAAUUUACAAUUUAUUUGGCUUUUCAGAUCCCUUGUGUUUAUGAAUGUCUGAUCUUUGAGAAAUGUUUGAGAUACAAAAGAGUGACUGAAUGAGAGAGUAAAAUUUGUGCUUGCCUAUACAAAUUUGAAAUGAGGAACCUAAGAAGUUUUUAUCUUAUGUUUAGAAGAUUGCAUGCGUGAACAUAACGCAUUUAGUUGGAUUUUUCAUAAUUAAAAAUGUUCUUCUUUUCUUGUUUGACAUUCUUUUAUGUAUUUCAGCCAUCUGCAGCAGCAAAUUCAUAGUCAGUCUCAGCUUGUGCGAGUAUGGUCUGGUCUAUCCUAUUUACUUCAUUAAUAGGAUUUCAAUUGCUAAAAUUUAUUCAAAGGUUACAAAUUUUACCGAUGAUGCAGGAUAAUUUACGAGGCUUUGACUUUGGGAGGACUACACUGAUGGAUCCUGCCCUCUAUGGUGCACAAAUUCCCGUACCUGCAGCACCUGGACUUCAUGGGGCAGGUUAUUUGACAUCAUACAAUUUAAUGUUUUUGUUUGUUCUCUGGAUAAUUUUGGAAUGAAACUUAGUUUUGCCUUUGAUUUACUUUUACUCUGUUCUUAGAACUACAAAAUCAACUGAAUAAAGAGAUAUGUUCAGUAUAUUUAUCAGGCUAUAUUCUGUCAAGAUAGGAAAGAGUUGAACACAUCAUAUGAUGUCUUGUUUUUUGUUUUGGUUUUCAUUUUCUUUUCUCCCUUCUGAGUAACUGCUUCCUUUGUUCUUUAAUGUGGUAAUUUUCUGUUUUACAUAUCUAAUGCCUAAUUUCUGUCUAUUGCAGGCCUGAACAGAGAUGUCAAUCCAAUGCCGUCGAAUAUAUGGCCAUUGGAUGUAAGAGGCUUAAUAAUUUACUUGCUGAACUCGUUUGGCAGCUAUUUUAGGUUCUUUCUAAGUGUAAAUUUAGAACUAGCAAAUCAUCAACGAAAGUGCUUAUUUUAGCAGGAUUAAAAAUUUAGCCAGUAGUUGGUCUUCAUCUUGGUUUGGGAAAUAAGCCCUUACACAUUUUUUCAGGCACCAAAAAAUCAAAGGCAGUUUCAAACAUCGACCAUGAACCAUCAACAACAGAUCUUGGCUCCAACACAGUCAUUGACAUUGGGGAACCUGACACCCAGUUUUCCUGGAAGCUCUGCCGGUUUUGCUCGUCACAAGCUGAUGGUUCCCAAGAUGGAUUUAAGGGGGAAAAACGCACAGGUAAGCAGAAAACAGUAAUAUUUUUGUGUGCAUGGGUAUGAACUUUGUCAAUCCUCUUGAGUUUAAUAUUGAUAUAUGUGUGUGUGUGUGUGUGUGUAUUUUACCUGUACUUUUAUGUCCAUCUAUCGUUUAUAUAUUCUCCAUAACAGCAUUGCUUCCCUUUUCAUAAGCUUUGACAUCCAGUUUUCCUACACACGAAUAUUUGGUGUCUGCACACCUGCAUGAAACUGCACAGUAACAUGUGCAAUCAUGAAUCAUGCAGGUUUCAUGUCUCCCUAAUGUCAGACUUCCUAUUGGAUAUCAUAAUUAUCUCUUUAUUGCAUACUCAUUAAACUUGUUAUGCUCAUUUUCUGACUAGAGGUUUGUUUGGUGUUCUUAUUCUAGAUGGCUGUCCAAAUGAGACAAACUGCACAGCACCAACUUCACGGUAAGCAGCCUCAGCACCAGCAGUUAGAAGAGGUUGGUCAGACAUAGCACUGAAUUGUUAAUUUGCUUUGAUACUUGGGCGGGAGAGGCCCAACUUAUGUGAUUUUAUUUUCCCCCUAUAUACAUUUUCUGACAUUAAGUAAUCUUGACCAGAAAGGCAGAAGAAGGAAUAAAUCGUCACUUUCAAGAGCUAAAGACAAGAGUAAGGUAGGUAACUUGCCCCAGGGAAAAAAUGUAAUGACCCUUUUUUCCAAUGGCUAAUUUUAAAAACUAUUUGUUUUGCUUCAUCUGAUGGUUGCUUUUUCAUGGUUUCUUUUACUGUAGGAUGAUCGGAAAGCAGAAGGCAGUAAACCUGUGAAUGAAAACGUUGAAUCAGUUUCAUCCCAUGAUACUACUGUUGAUUCAAGCACUGCCGCUAGCAACAAAAAUAAGCCCAGAGGUUCUUCUUUUUCCAAAGUCAAUUUCAAUGUUGAUAUUGCAUCGCUUUAUGCAGUGUUCCUCUCUGGUGGAAACUAAUUUACGAAUUUCAAUGCAGCCCCUUGAGGUGUGGAAUCCAAUUGAACGCUGUAGAAUGCAGACAGGUGAUGCAAACAUUCAUGAUUCAUCAUUGGCAGAUACAUUUCAUGGGUUGUAUAGAGGCACUAAUCCUGCGGAAGUUUGACCAUCAGUCAAUAAGUUCCAUGGCUGAAUACACUUUUUGUUGUAGAUACUACAGGGAGACACAGAGACUGUUCCUAUAUCUUUUGUAAAGGUAUAGACAUAAAUAAUUACAAUCAAAGUGUUGAUAGCAUUCAAAUUUAUUUGCCAUAUAAAAUGCUGUUUCCCAUUUGCCUUUUGUCCAUAUUGUUGAACUUGGCUCUGUUUUUGACUCUAUAUUGUUCAUUUCUUCUUCUAUAGUUUUGCACCGUCCCCGUAAAUAUUAUUCAAUCGAUCUAGAGAUACAAAUUUAUGUUUGUUGUGAGGUAUUCGAUGCAGAAUAUUACGCAGGGAUGUAAUUAAUAUUAAUUUACACACUAAAAAAGUGUCAUGCUUGCUAAUUGAAUCUAAAUCUUACCAGUUACCAUCUCUAAUUUCAUAUUCAGAAAAAAAAAUGAAGCAUAUUUAUUUUAGGACACAGAAUGUAUAAAGAACACCGUUUUUCAUCUCAGUAAGAAGAUACGGAUUAACACCAAAAGUAAAUUAAAAUAAAAUCAUGACUAGAAAGAAAAUUUUAACUUGCAACUUAAAAGUAGUACCAACUGGAAACAAAUUGGAUAAAACUAGAAGACCAGCUUGAGCCACAAAAUCAAGAGAGAUGUCUGAUGUUUGUAUUUGGGGUUGCAUUACAUAAACCAUUUUACAGAAUCUACACUACAGGGCAAAGAACUCAAGCCACUUCUAGAGCCAUCACUUCCAUAAUUCUUCCAUUGGGAUCCCGCGUUCACGAGAAACUUCACGCCACUGCUUCAUUUUCUGCACUGCAACAACCGUUGCUCUAGCAUUGUUGAGGGCAUUGUUACUCCCAAGUUGCUUCCCCAAAGCAUUCUCAACACCUGCCAUUUCGAGAACAAUUCUAACAGCACCUCCAGCAAUCACUCCAGUACCAGGAGCAGCAGGUCUGAGCAUCACCUUAGCCGCCCCAAAAUCACCAUCAGAUCUAUCAUUUAUUUGUUCAACAGAAUCAGUAAGUGCAUAGGAAGAUAAAUACAUCAGCAUUCAAAUAUGUUGCAUAAAAAUCAUGCCCUCAGCGAUAUGUAAAGUUUAAGGGUAGAUAUGCAAAUCAAGAAGCAAGAUCAUAAAGGGAAUGCAUUUGGAAUCUGGAUAGCAUGCUUUUGCACACAUAUGGUAGGAUUAUUAUUAUCCACAUAUAUUUCAAUCUGGAGGUAAAGUCUGUAACUCAGGUUACAACGAACAUCUUUUCUAUAUUUCUAUCACACUGGCGUUUCUAUCAUUUGUUUAAAGGAAUAGCAAAGGCAUAUAUUUGGGUAGUUUCAAUGAAAAAUGAACCAUUUAAAACAAAUUUAGAAACAAUUUACUCAUUCCGACAGUUUCUGUCAGGUUUCAAAACAUUCACUCAGUCACGAUCAAACUGAAUUAAUCUACAUUGUAAAUCUAUGUACGCUAUAAGCAAUUAAGCAUAAAUUCAUCAAAAUCACCAUAGUUAGACCACAGCUUUAUGACUCUCACAUAAAACUUUUACACAAACAAAAAUGACAAAAUAUCAACUUGCACUAUAUGUAUGCAAUGUUCGACAUCCACCUUGAGUUUUUUAAUUAGGCCUUAGCAAAAAAGUUUCUAGAAAAAAAAAUAUAUAAAACUCUUUAUACGGAAACUACAUUCUGUCCCAAACCACAGGUUCCCCAAAAUUAAGCACCCUCCAAACAACAGAUUCAAAAUCAAUCCAGUCUCCACACAAAACAAUUCUACAACAUUCUGUCUGAAACAAACAAUUCCACAGAAUAUAGCAAACUUAACAAUCACAUCAGUAAUCUCGACUUCCCACAUUUCACGUUCUCAUUAUCACACACAUCCAUACUCAAACCAGAAAAGUGAAACCAAAAAAAUUGGGAAAAAAAAAAAGAAAAGAAAGAAAGAUUGAUUUACUUUACCUGUGUGGGAAAGUCAAGUACUUAGUCAUAGGGACAGUAACAAUAUUCCUCCUAGCAUCAACGGCGGAUUUCUGUACGGCAGCAAUAACUUCUUUAGCUUUGGCAACGCCAACACCAACUUGGCCUUUCUUAUCACCAACCACAACAAUAGCUCUAAACUUCAACUGCUUCCCUCCUUUGACCACCUUCGUCACUCUUCUGACUUGAACCACUCUUUCUUCAAACCCAUCCUUCACUUUCUCCUUCUUCGUUUUCCCAAAAGCACUCGUCUUUUUCGCCUUCGAGUCCAUCACAUAAACAUCAUUUCCCAAGACGCUGACUCCCGCGUACGCGGGUCCGUACAAUUCUUCGUAAGCAGCGGCAAUUUCGUCCUCGGUUUCCAUUGGGAGCUCGUCGAAGGAGGGCGGGGGAGUGUAAUCCUCCGGGGGCGUCGGUGGGUCGAAAACGGCGGCGUCUUCAUCUGGGUUGUUGAAGUCGUCGAAAACGAUGCCGUUUGGUUUGUCGGAUUCGGAGGCUCUGACGAGGACGGUCGAGAGGGUGAGUUUUGGGAGCCUGGUGAGUUUUGCAGUGGAGAGGAAUGAGAGGCGGGGAGUCGAGUGAAGAGAUAGAGACAAAGACAAUGACGAGAGAGAAAGGGUUGCUCUUGUUGCUGAUGCUGUUGUUGCCAUUGGUGAUGUGUAUGUAACGCUGCGUUUGGGGGAGAGUGGAGAAGAAAGGAAGAUCAGUUCAGUCUCUUGGGAGCUUUGCUUAUCCCCCUCCUACGACGAAAUGGGCAAAAAGCCAAAAGCAAGCUCAGAGGAGGACUAUGUUGUAAUUUUCAUUUUCCUUUUUUAUUUUUUAUUUUUAUUUUGGGGUUUAAGAUGGUGUUGGAUGGAAGUCAAAUGUGUGAAAGCCAAUCGCUACGAAUUGGACUUUUGCACUUUUAAAAGCCCAUUGUCUGGCCCCUUUCAAUUGUCAGAACGCACGAAGAAAAGCCCACCAGGUAUCCCCAAAAUGCAAAUUCUGUAUGCAAUUCCUCCGCAUUUGCUGGCCUGCACGGGGCGAUCCUUCUUGUUAAGCAUUUUCUCACUAUCUUGCAUUCUUCUUACAAUGCUUCAAAGGUGGACCAUAAUAUUCAAUAUUAAAGCUUGAGGAAGCUAGUUAGUCAAACAACUCCAGAAGCUAGCUGCAAUUGAGAUUUGGCAGAAGAACUAGCAGAAGAAGAUCGCGUUCUGAUUGCUUUGUUGAGAGAAGAGGUACUUUUCAUUCCCGCUUAUGCUAACAAUUAAUACUCCACAAUACAUUGUAGUAAGAGUGGCCUUAUAAUUAUUUAUUUUAUCGAUUCUACUUUUGGAAAAGCCAUCUAACGUGAAGUCAAGCCAAUUAGAGAUUUCACACAACAGAAUACAUACUUCUAUUUUAUGUGUUAAUAACUAAUGCUAAAACAAACCACUCAGUUAAAAAUGUCGAGUGCCUAGAACUACUCUUUCACAAUUGUGAGGGUAGUUUCAAAAUCCCACAAAAAUAUUAUAAGAAUUUAAUUCUUUUUUUAAAUUUGAGUGAAAAUAAUUUUCUCCCUUUCGAAAAUAUGAGUAGAGUAUAUGCCUUUUAAAUAUUAGAAACGGUUAAAAUUUGGACAGUACUAUUUAAGAUUUAAUGUACACUACUCUCAAUAAUUAUUUAAUUAUAAAUAUAAAUUAUAAUCUCAUAUAAUAUGGGUUGUAAUUUGAACAAUAAUCUCAUGUAAUUAUAAAAAAAAAAAAAAAACUAAUGCUAAGAUUACAAAAUAACAAUAUGCUUAUAAAUCCUAAAAGGAGAAGUCCUCAUGAGAUGAUGUUGCAGCAGCCAAUUAAAUCGAAACACCAAUAAAUUCUAGUUCACUCUCUUUCUGGGUCUGUAGCUGAUUUUUCUAUACCAGGCCAGGCAGUCCGAUUACUGAGAACCCACCGCAGAGCAUUCUAAGCAAGAUUCCACUUGUAAUCACAACCAUCCAAGAAAGACACGCCCGUAUAGGAAUCAAGUUAUCAGCAGCCCCAGCGGCAUAGAAAAGCCACAUCUUGUACACAAAGAGAGGUCCCGGAACUCCUUAGCAACAGAUUAACAGGUACGAAAAGGAGCAGACAAUCAUGUAGUUUCUUCUUAUAAAUCACGGAGAACAUUUCAAGAAGGGGGCAGUACGCGAUUUAUUUGAAUAUGUAUCUUUAAAAACAGCGUUUUACAAAGACUUUCGAUAGAUGUCAAAAGCUCAGCACAUAAAAUAAACCAAAUGGUGAUUGAACUUGGUAAUGAUAAAAAGAAAUGGCGACGAUUGAGAAUGAUGGCGAUGUGAUGCUUAGGGAGAGAAAAGAGAGCAUAUGAACAGAAAAGAAAAUAAAUAAAAUAAAAUAUUUUUAUUAUAUUUUUUAAUGAGGAUAAUUUCGAAAAACAAAUGAGUUAAUUAAAUAUUGGGGCUGCUAAGAUAAAUCGAGAGAGACAAAUAUUUUUUUCUAUUUAAAAAAAUUGUCAAUAGCUCAAAAUGUCGGGGCCACUAUAUAAAAAUAUUACACUUAUGAUGUGUUUUAUUUGUUGAAUUGGGGAAUAGGAAAACGAAAUUAAAAUCAUUAACGAUGUUUAUUUCACAAGAUAAGAAUAAGAUCAAAAUCGGAAUCAUAAGGCUCAUCCCAAUUCAAAAAUAAGGAAUGAGAGAUUGAUUCCCAAGAGGGGAUAUGAAUCAAUCUCUCAUUCCUUAAAUUAUCAAUUUUGCCCCCAAACGUAGAAAUUCAAUUUUGCCCUCAAUUCAAAAACCAACACAAGUGUCGAAUGCAACAUCUAUGCUCGAUCUGCCACCGUUGCACGCAGAGCCAUGAUCAAUCCCCUCAUAGUCGCAUGCAGAUCCUCAACCUCAUGGAAAUUGAUCCAGUCACCGUCGCACACUGCCAUGCACAAUCUCGUCACCAUUGUACAUAGAUCGUCAACCUCGUGCCACUGAUUGUCAUCGGUCGUAUGCGAUACCUGUUGAUCAUCGCUGCCACUCCUCGAUCGUCGUUGCACAUUUGAAUUGUCACCAGUUGUUGUUGUUAUUAACAAUGGAAAAAAUAAUAAUAAUCAUAAUUAUUAUUGUUUGAUUGUCAAAAUAAACAACAAUAAUAACAAUAACAAUUAAUUAAGGGUAUUUUAGUAAUUUAAAAUAAUUUAUUCUAAUUUAAAAAAAGCACAAUAAUGGGAAUACAAUCCAUUCUAAUUCUAAUUAUUACAAUUAAUAUAGACAACUUAUUCUGAUUCUCAUUCCCUAUUCUCCAUUCUUAUUAUUGUCAAUUCUGAUUCAUGCCUAUUACAAUUCCUAUUUGGUAAACGCACCAUUACUAUUUUUUUACAUUUACAGUUUAAAUUGAAUAAUUUACACCAUAUGUUUCUAGGUAAAAUGAUAACUACAUCGACCAAUUCGGCAUUUGUCGAUUACGCAGACAUGAUAGAUCGUUAUUAUCUUAGUUAGGAACGUGAUUGUCCAAAAUGCAGUUUUUCUAAUAUAUAUGAGAAAAAUGAUGAAUAAACUAAUUUUGAAAAUUGAGUUCCACUACCACUUCUAAUUAAUGUUAUACAACUCGCGUCAGUUACAUUUUCCAAGUACUAUUUUCCUCAUAAGUUCCAUUCCAAUAUGUGGAAAUUAAAUUUCAUGAUCAAUGUCACACAUAAACACACAACUCAGUCCGAUAAUGCAUGUGAUGAGACUCAUAACUACCAAUAUAAUGCUCUUUCACACAGGAAAAAGAGUGUACAUAGCCAAGAGAAUUAAUAUGGCUUAUGCAAGAGAAAUGAAACGUAUAUGAUACAAGAGAUUUUAUUCUAUUUUUUUUCCUUCUUCAAUGAAGAAUUAAUGUUUCUGAGGUACUUCUCCAUUUCUCUUGCGCAGCAAUCAUUAUGUUUAGUAAAAAAAGAGAUUAAAAAAAAAAUUUUACGACGUUCCAUUGUCAUGAAGUUCCCUUAGUUGUUAAAUAGAAAAAUUAUAUGUAUCGACAUCCGGUAGCAUAUCGAGGCAACUGUAGCAGUCAUCAACAGUUUGAUGAUGAUCAUAUUCAGGAUUGUUCAUUUUAGCACCAUGCGACGAGGAGCUCGUUGCUGCCAAGUGGGCAUGGAUUCCGGAACUAGUAGCGUUGUUAGAUGCACGGACAACAUUGUUAGCUUCCUCAUGAUCAUCCAGUGGCAACGUCAUGAGGUUGUAAUAAGUUUCCUGUUGUUCUUUGUGCCUAAGUUGUUCGAUAAGUAGUGCUAAAGAUGCUUCUUCCUCAUCUCUAGCUUGGUGCAUUAUGGGAGUUGGAGUUUGAUUUGCAGCUGGAAAGAAGUCGUAGUUCUGUUGUUUGUAUGAUGGCUCGGCUGCUGGCUCUGGCCGUUCCACUUUUUUAACGGAGAAAUACUGUCCCUCGGAUGCAAGAAAACACCAAAAGUCAGAGAACAGAAAUCAAAUUAGAAGCUACAUGUAUCUCAGUGCCUCGCACGUUCCCAUCAGCUGCUACUGCCUACAGGUACAUAAAACACUCAAAUUUUGUUUGUCCAUUUUUGGCACCGUUUCAUUUUGUCAUUUUCCGGUCGCAUCCUUCCAAAGGAUGAUUCAUCAUCAUACAGAAGAGGUUAAGGGUACUGUUGUCUUCCAGUUGAACAAACUUGAUUCCCUUUUCCAUAUUUCAAAAUUCACUUUUUUAAUUGUCAAACAAAUUCCAAUUAAUUCGCACAGUUUCAUAUAUAGCAAGUAAUAAUAAGUUGAUAAACUCACGAGAUUUUUGCUCUCAUCCUCGUAAAGGGUAAGGGAAUCUCCAAUCUCCAGCCCAUUUUGCUUUACAAAAUCCACUGUAUAUCGAAAACGUGAGAAAGUAGAAACAGAAGAUGAGAAUUGGCUUGGGGGGAAAAAAAAGCUUCAUUUUUAAGGUUUAAAAUAAUUUUUCAGGAACUGAGAUUUACCUGUAUUUUCAAGAACAUACAUUCUGCUCUUAUUAUUAGACCAGUACCUGAGUUAUCAAACGGGCACAAUUAAUAAUAUGAUUAACUAACAAAUGGGUCUAGCAGUAUCAAAACUGUAGUAACCAUAACCCAUGCAUGUCAGUAUGUAUGUACUCACUUGAACUUGAGAGUCCAAUGUUUGACAGAAUAUACAUCCCUGAUUACUAUGUGGAUGCCUUCUUUAUCAGAAAGACUUGGAAGAUUUUCUUCAGCCUCUCUCUGGAUUAAAUAAAAAAAACGAAAAAAGACUUAAUUAUCAUGAAUAUAUAGAUAAUAAGGCUAAUUAUUUUUUGAGAGGUCAUUAAUAAUCUUUCCUUUUUCCCAUUUGCUUUAUUUUCUGUGCAAGAAUCGAGAAGUCAGGAAGAGAAGUUAUUCGGCAGAGUAGAUGCACAACUAUGAUGUAGUGGUCAAUAAGAGUAAAUCAAAUGAAUGAUUACGGUUGGCUCAUUUACUUCUUUCCCGUCUAUCAUAAUCAUCUUCAUUGCAUUGGAGUAAAAGAACGCAAGACCAAAAUAAGCAAAAGUUGACCGACUAAGAAAGCAAAGCUAUAAGCACAGCAAGGGCUGAUCACCUUUGGAAGAAUAAUCCUCCCUAGAGAUCCCACAUCACUGUUCUUCAACGCCUUCUGCAACAGCACUCUCAGUCUCUGUGAGAAGAAAAACCAAAAAAAAUAAAAAAUUAGAACAGACAGUACAGAAAACACAUGAUGGAGUAAAGGCUAAAGACAAAACAAACAACGGGUUCUAAAUUUUCGGAUUAAUUCGACGCGAACUCACUUUAUUAUCUGGGGUGCAGAAGUUGAACAGAUCUCGGUGAGUGUCAACACCAUACGUUGGUAGUCUUGUCGCGUCAAAGUGAGCUGAAGAAGGCACAUUUGAAGAAGAAGCCCCAGAAGAUGCAUUUCUUUGUAAACUGAGGCUCUUUUGCCGAGCUAGUUUUCGUUUAAUCCUAGCAAUCUUGGUCUUUUGUGGAUCAAGAACCACUCUUUGUGGCUCCUUUGGUACCCUGAUAUGUGGUUGCAAACUCCACGAUCCUGCUGCUGCUGGUAGCGCAUUAUUACCACCUCCAUUUUGGAUCCCGUUUUGUGCUAACCAAAAUGGAUACACCGGAUAUGGAGCAGCAGCAGCAGCAGCAGCAGCAAAAGAUUGACCACCAGACUGGUCCAAAGGAAAUGUGCUAGGGUAUUGCAUAUUUUGAUGAUAAUAAGUUGGUAAGUAGAGCUGGGAAUUUUGUGUAUACGCCAUGCUUGGUUGGCUAAGUUGCUGGUUAGUGAAGGUAUUAAUGGUAUUGUUGUUAGCGGUGGCGGUGGUGGCGGUAUUGUUGUUAGAAGCUGGGAAAAAGUUGUUCUCCAUAAUAUUGAAAUGGAAGUACAGACACUGUUUGAUAGAGAGGAGAGUGUGUUUGUGUUUGUGUGUGUGCGUUUAGUUUUGAGUUUGUAUUAUUUUGUUCCGAUGAGUGCAAGUCUGGUUCAAGAAUAAGGUCGUGGUGGAGGAAGAUGCUGCCAUUAUAGAGAGCCCAGGUGUCGAUAAAGCAAGAGAAACGCGUCAACUGGUGCAGAAGGGCCGGUGUGGAGAAGGAAAACAAUAAAGCAAACAAAAACAAAAGAAAAAAGAAGCCACGAAAUUGUAGCAGAGUGAAGUACUGAGAAAGUGAGAAGCUGAAAUGAAUGAACAAAUAUGGUGAUAGAGUGGAGUAAAAAGAUGGCCAAUCGGGCGUCGUUGGUGACAGAUGGUAAGUGAGUGGUGGUUUUGGGAUACCCAUCUGCCCAGUAAGAGAACAAGACACGGUUGGCUUCAAAGACUUGGCGCCACCUUUGUUUUAAUUGUGGCAGCGACUUGGCCUCACUCUUAUUUUCUGCACGCAACACCACGCAAAUUAACUAUGCCUUUCUCUCUCACACACACAUACACACUGCAUUUUAUUUUCUAAUUAAGACUGAUUAAUUUUAAUCUGCAGCUUUGAUAUAUAAUAUAGAUUGCAAAGCUGAGUGGGGUAAAUUAGAUUUUUUUUUCUAGUUUUAAAUAAAAUUUAUAUGAUGAGAAACGAUCAGAAUUGUUCUUUGCCGUUGCAUUGUUGUUUCUUAGACUCAGAAAAGCCAAAUUUGGUUCAAAAUGCAAACUUUCGAAACACAAAGAAACAGCAAAGUCAAUUAUACCGUCCCUCUUGUUUCCUUCAGAAAAUUUUUAAUUCUUAUAUUAGUUGUAGUUAGAAUCGUUUGAAUUUGAUUUUGUAUUAAAUUGUUUUAAUAGAAGUAGUUUUAUUAUAAAUUAGUAUUAAAAUUAGGUUGAUAUAAUGUUUGGGAUGUGAGUAAAAGAUUGCAAAAAUGUUUGGAAUGUGAGUAAAAUAGAGCGGCUGAAAAACCCAAGAGGAUGAAAUUUUUGCCUCCGCUCCAUGGCUCCAUGGCCACCGGCAUUCUGAUGCCAUGCCUGGCUUGUUAUUCACCAGCUUGGCCAUGCCUCCAUGAUCCAAGUUCACCUAUGUAGAAGGCACAAAAAAAAGGGAAUAUUAGAGUUGAUACAUCAUCAAUUAUACAGUAUACAUUACUUGCUUUUGUGAUCCAAGAAAUUAUCGCCUUCAUUACUUCUUUUACAAGCUAUAUGUACAUCGAAAGAACAGAAAACUUGUUCAUCUGGAGGCUGGAGUUAUAUUGAAUUUCUUGUUAGCAAAAACGUUUGGCUAUUCUUACUUUCAAAAAUUGAAAUAUUAAGCACUUAUACGGAUGAAAGAGAACAGUUAAUUAAAGCACAAGCAGAUAUUUAUCUUCCCAUUAAUUCUUCUCAAUAUGUAAACUCAAUGAUAAUAGAAGCAGAAAAGGCCGCAAAAUACAACCCAAAAACAGAUAAAAAGCAAAUAAUUGGCAAAAAAAUCCUCGGUUCACAUGUAUAUUAAUUACUAACUAUUAACGAUCAUAUCUAGUAGAUAUUUCUAUACAUGUAAAGCAGAUGUAGUUUUACCCAUGGGAAUUCUAAUUUUGCAUUUACUUUUUGCUGGCAACUGAUUAAUUCACAACAACAAUGAACUUUCAUUAAUAUAUUUUUCAUGCAAUGAAAAUUUGCAACAAAAAAAUACAUUAAAGAACACAUCAUCCAUCAGAGAAAUUAAAAGAUUCCCAUGAGUAUAAUAGAAGACCAAGGCAUGAGAUCACUUGAAGUUGAAGAUCUCAAAGAUGCAUGAGAAGUCUUCAGUGCAAAAUAAAUACAGCAAUCUACUUAAUGGGCAAGAAAAGAUUAGAAUAAGUAAUUUCAAUAGUAAUGAAUUUAUGAAGGCAAUUAGCUUCACAAAUAAGCAAUAUGCAAAGCCUUAUGAGAUAGAAGCCUGACUUACAGAGUAAGAAAAUUCUCUGAUUCUGGAUCUACAAUGAGAAAAAAAAGCCCUCAUGCCACAAAAUCAAGGCUAUAUUUAUAAUCAUUAAGUAAUAAAUGGUUCUUAAAUCAAAGCUUAAACUAUUUCUAAGAGCUUGUAAGAAGGAAAUAAAAACUUGAAAAUGAUAAAGGGCAAGGCAAGAAGUGAUGCAUUUGCAAAGAGACUCUUGCAUAGUUUAUAUAGAUCCAUUAACGGGAUCUGCAUGGAACUAAAAGGUCUUAGGUGAUAACACCUGCAUAACUUGACUUGAUAGCUGUCAGUGGUUUAGAACGUAACGCUAAACACGCGUUGUGGUGGCCAUAACUCGUGCUCGAAAAAGACAAUCGAAGUAAACUGGAUUCAAUUUAUUGUUCACAUCCGUUGUUGUUAUUUGUGCUUUGCAAUCUAUAUAAAAUCUCAUCGAAACGUAAAUUGACAAGCAUAUCCUGCUUUCCAAACAAAGCUGGCUUCAUUUGUUCAGCCUUAAUGAUCAAGAAACAUCAAACUAUGCAGAACAAAAGAACCAAUUCGAUGAGGCCUAAUUUUUUCAUGUGAGUUCCAGAUAAGAUAGGAAUGGAAAGGAACACUACUGAUAAACAUGUGAUGAUCAAGCAAAGUGGUAUAGGGAUCAAUAUCUUGUCAAGGUCCAAAGACAAUAUUUACAUGAAAAUUUUGAAUAAAAAUAAUGCAACUAUUGGUGAUUACUACUAACAACUGGCAAGUGAAAAAUGGUCUUUUACCGACCAUUAUGCUAAUUUAAUGUUCACCUUUCUCUAGAUCACAAAAGAAAAGAUUUCUUUGAUAAUCUGAACAUACAAAUGUCUUACAACAUCAAGAUAAAUUUUUAGUUCAAAUUUGAAAAUGGACGAGUAACUCAACACUGGAAAAUAUGCUUUUAACUAUGACUGAAGCAGGCUAGUUUAAAAAUAUAACUGCAGAGGUAGAAAAAAAGUCUAAGGUGAACGAGUUCUGAUACGAAUAAUCAAGAAAGAUGAUGCCCUAUGUUGGAAUGAAAAGAUAUGAUGCAUUUGGUAAGUCAAAUUUCUGCUUUCAUGUUUCCAAAACUAAAGACUAUUUUUUUUUUUUCCGUCCUAGUACUACUUCAUGUUUUUGGGUAUUAAUUAUCAUUGGCACCUUCCUUUUCAGGAACAUUGCCAUACUUGUCAUAUACAACUCAAUACUUUGUGGUUUGCUAGGAAAGAAAAUGGCUACAAAAAGAAGGAUACAAGGAUACAAGUUUAAGGAAAUGCAAUCUUCUUAAUCAUUCCCUUUUGACACAUUUGUAACUAUAUCUCAUCCAACGUAAAUAAAUCUGGAGGUUUGAGUUGAAUAUAGCAUACUGGCUAGGUAUCAAAUUAGUGACUUCAAACGGAAAAAGGAUUGAUAAUCUGGGCUUCUCUAACUAAUAAUAGGCUUGAGGCCCAACAGAUUAUAGAAGUUUGACCAGAAUCCAAACCAACUUGAUUUUGUUUUUGUAUCCAAUUAUUUAUUAUUCAAGGGAAAAUAAAGAUGUGUUGACUAGCUAUAGACCGUCCAACUUCCACGUGGCAUGAAAUGCCCACGCGUCCAUAUUGUAGGUCGCCACCUUCUUCUUCACUUACAACUUAUAACAUGCAAUGUAAAGACACAAAGCGGUAAGGAAACGAUCAGAGAGGAAAGAAAAUCAACAUACAGCAAGAAACCAUGGCAGCGACGUUCAUAACCAAGAACGCUAUCUUCAACCUCACAAGAGCUUUCCCUCGUACCUCUUCUCUUUCGCUCACAACUCCGCACAAAGACUCCAGAGUCUGCUUCUCCCCUGCAUCAUCAUCUAACUACAAUGAGGUAAUAUUAAUUACUUACUCAAAAUAAUAUUUUUAAUUUGGUGAAUAUGUGUGUGUGUGUGUGUUUUGUUGAAUGGUUUGAUUGUGACUUGCAGGACCGAGAUGCAGUGGAGAAGGCCAGGGAUUCAAGGGCUGACAUGGCCUACAGGUCGAAGGAAACGAUGAACGAAACUGACGAGGACAUAUCAGAUAGAGCAAAAGAAACCAUAGGCAAAACCAAAGAACGGGCUCAGGAGAUGAAGGAGAACGCAAAAGAAAAGACCAAAGAGGGAACUAACAAAACCGCUGCGGCGGCACAGAACGCCAAAGAAAGGACCAAACAGAAGGCCAAAGAAGGGACAGAGAGAGCAUCGGAGGCUGCGCAGAGGGCUAAAGAGAAGGCAGAAGAAGGGACAUAUAAGGCAGCGGAGACUGCAAAAGAUUACGCACACAGCGCCAAGGAAAAGACCGCAUCUGCAGGGGAGACUGUGAAGGAGAAGACCAAGGAAGGCACCAACAAGGCGGCGGAGACGGCGCAGAGUCUAGGGGAGAAGGCGAAGCAGACGGUGCAGGGUGCAUUGGAGAGGGCGAAGGAUACUACGCAGAAGAUUAAAGAGACUGUUGUAGGGAAAGAGGAUGAAGAUCGUAAUGAUGACAGAGAGAAGAGGACGGAUGAAGAUGUUGUUGAGUUGAGGCGGCGGCAAGCGGGCGAGCAUGAUGACAAGAACAAGUAUUAAUUAGUAACGGGAUCGUUGAUGAUCAUCAGUUUUUAUUAUAUCUGUCAUCUGUGCGUGCUGUGUUUUGCUAAUUAAUUAACUGCAAAAUAAGUUUUUAUGUUGAGAGUAUAAUCUCCGAGGAGACUCGGCUCGUUUAAUUAAUUUAAUAGAAAAAAUAAUAUAAAAAAAAAACCACCUUUGACCAAUGAGAGAAAAGUAUUAAUUUUCCGAAGUAAUUUACAUUGACGGUAGUUGCAACACCUGCCAGUGACGCUGCGAUGCCCCAGGUAAAGCCAAAGCCAAUGUGCCUUGGCAAGACUCAUUAUUGAACUCGAGGACAACAGAAUAAUGAAUUAUUCAUGUAAUCACUUCAACAAGAAAUCAUUACAUCAUUCUUUUUUUGGGAAAUGGAUUUGUUGUUACAUGAGAUAAGACUAUAAUUUAAUUGAUAAGCGAUUGAUUUGCGACACCCGGAAGAAGGAAGAUUACUUACAGGUUAUAGAUUAAGGCUCCCAAUCUGAGCCAAUGUGGCUCAUAAUAACAUUAACGUGGGUAUACGUAACAUGAUUUAACAAAACGUUAUCCUUGGAUGUGAAUUAUUUAACAAUAAUUUUUUUUUUUUUUAUAAACUGUGGCUCAAUCAAGAGUUAGAGAACAACGUACCGAAGGGUAAUAACUCUUUAAGCUUCAUACAAAAGAAGGAAAUUAAUCCCAAUCGGAGGAUUAUGGUACAAAAUAAGGCCAAUAAUUAAAGAAAAAGUAAGGUUCGCCGUAUACUUCUCAACAUAGUUCGCCUCGCCUCUCUAUAUAUAUAUGAGAGAUAAAAAUCUGUCAAUUCUUAUGGGAGUUAACAAUAAUCUUUUUAAAGUCAGUAACAAUGUUGUUUAAAAUUUAAAAUUACGAAUCAUUAAAAUUUUAAAAUUGUAAAGUCUAUGUGUCCACAUAAUUGAAUUCUUAUGUACUUAUUACAUUUCUAACUAAGAAGAUUUUUAGGUUAUAAAUUUUAGAAAAAUUAAUUGAUAUCAAGAUGGGAGUUAUCAUUUCCUUCCUAUUUUGAUGAAAUUUCAUUAAUACGAUGCACCCCUUAAUGUGAUAAAGAAGGCAGAAGUUAAGCCCAUAUUGUGGAGACCGGAGCAAAAUCCAGAACCAAGGCCCAGGGGAAAAUGGCCCGGCAUGAGAGUGAAGGCAUCACCGUUGAAUUAGGGGAUGCUCCACGCAUCCAUAAGAUACGAGGGAACGAAUGAUGUUGAUGAUUAGACCAAUCCGGUGGACCACCUGAGAAGAUCAAGCUAAUAAAAGUUAUCCAAGCCAUCAGAGUGGUGAGCAGCUCUAUAAAGGACAAUGGAGGAAAAUACAGAAUAGCAAAUGUCACAGCCAAUGGGUAUUGACUAUUGAAGAGUGAAAGUGCAGCGUUUGUCCACCAAGUGGUGGCUUCAGAGGAGCAGUUGUAACCUCUAACGGCCAUCGGCGUCACCCCCAUUUUCUCCUCUCAAGUUUACGUGCCACUCCCCCACUUUUCGUUAUUUUUUUAAAAAAAAUUAAACUCCCCCACCUCCACCAGUCGCGUUCCUAAUUUCGUUUCCUUCUCGGGUUUUUGGCCUGAGAAAUUUAUCUGGGCACCCGGAUUUUUUGGUACUUUUAACUGCCGAAACUACCCUUCCGCUAUAAUAAGUUAAAAUGGGGCGCUCCCUCUCUCUCUCUCUCUCUCUCUCUCUCUGUGUACCCAGAUGAUUUGGGUUGAAACUUUAAGUUGGACGCACAUAAAACUUACUUUGUAUAAAAUAAAAUUGACGGACUAUUAAAAUAUAUGUAUUUUGCCAUUGCCCUUUUCGGUGUACAUGAUUGGUUGGGCGACAGUAAAAUACUGCAAGUAAACAAAAUCUGUACACGAUGAUAAUAAUACAGUUUAUAACCUUUAAUAUUUAUACAGAUUAUAACUUUUAAUAUUUACUUUAUGCAACGAGAAGGAAUAAAACAAUUUUGAUAAACACGAGUGAAAAUUAUAAUUGUUGACGUUAAAAUUUUCUCUUCAAAUUCAGUACUUUAAAUGUUAAUCGUCAACUACAGUGUCCAAAAAUAUAGCAAAAAUAGAGCUCAAAGUAAAAAUAAUUUAUUUCCAGAGUAUACAAACCAAUAGGUAAAAUACAGUGUCUUAAAAUCUUCAGAUUGCUUCAAAUUAAAGCAUAGUUAUUUGUCUUUAAUUAAAUGUUAAACUGGUCUAUGGUCUCGUAAUUUUUUGAUGAGUAAUGAUAAAUAUGUCAGAAUUCUAUGCGAAAUUAAUUCAAUCUCAAAUAAUAUAAUAGAUAAUUAAUUCAAUCUCAAACUGGUCUAUGGUCUCGUAAUUUUUUGAUGAGUAAUGAUAAAUAUGUCAGAAUUCUAUGCGAAAUUAAUUCAAUCUCAAAUAAUAUAAUAGAUAAUUUGUUACGCGUUAGGUGGUUGAUAAAUUUAAAUAAAUAAAUUAUAUUAUUUUACUAUCCAAUUAAAAAAUGACACAUCAUUUGAAAAUAAAUUCUUAAAUAAUAUUUUGAGAAUGUCCUAUACACUCUUUAAUUUAUCAAUAUUAUAUUAAAGUUAUUAGAUUUAACUUUCAUAGUAAAUACAAAAUCACAAAUUAUGAACGAAUGCAGGAAGUUUCCUUCUAAUAAGAAUUCACUUAUUUUAAUAUGAUAAGAGACGAUACAAAAAAUAAAAAAUAUAUAAAUUUUAAUAUUAACAAAAGAAAAUACAAUAUAUUAAAAUAUAAAAUUUUUAUAUCUUUUAAUUUAUCUCUUAUUUUAUGAAAAUAAAAACUUCCUUAUUAAAAAAUUUAUCUCCAAUGCGAAUCCUUAAAGCCCUCAACUUCAGAGUAAAGGGAAUGAACUUAAGCCAAGACUCACUUUUGAUCAUGAAACUACAACCGGGUCAACGAACCUUAAGAAAGAGGGUCGGACUUUGUGUUACCGAAUCCUCCCACAAAUGGGGAUAAUAUAGUCUUUUCAGGCUAUGAGUGUCGAUAUCAAUUAUGGAUGUCCAAAGACGACUGAUAUAAGAUAAUGACAACAGAAACAGCCUCUAAAAUAUUUGUUUAAAAAAAAAUUCCAAAAAACAAAAGAAUGAGAGAAUAGAAGACUCAAGAGAGAGAUUUUGGAAAGUGGAAUAAGAUAGAGAAAGACAAAAGGAAGGGGGGGGGUUUAAAGGAAAAAAAAAAAGGAGAAAUAGAAGCUGAAUUCAGUGUUACACAGCGCACACCACCCUAUUGACUACUGCAACGCCACCUUUCUCUGGCCGCAGCAGCCACCUCUGGUCCAUCACCCCUCUCCUCUAUUACAUCUCUCUUAAUUUUUCUGUCUCUUAGUAAUUCCAUUAUUGAUUUUUCUUUCUUUCUUUUUUUUUUUUCCCUUGAGGGGUGGGUUGUUUUCAUCAGGUACAAAAAGAAAGAAAGAAAAAGAGAGUGAGAUUUUCUGAUUUGUGGUCACCGGAGUAAUUUGUGUGAGUAGGCUAUUUCAUGUAUGACACGGGGGUGUUCUGAUCAGGGCGACAAAUCAAGGUGGAGUGGGGCUGAAUUACCUGAACCUAAACACAGCCAUUUAUUUAUAACGACUGUACCGUCUCUGAACCAAAAAAAAAAAAUCAUUUCUCCCCUUCAGUUUCUCUAGUUUCUGCCUUGCCUGCACACCAGAAUGAGACCUUUCCUCUGUGACUUUGUCCACGGUCGACACCCGUACAAAUUAAAUCUCAUCUUUCAAUAUCCUCCUAAUUCCGAAUCUCUCUCUCUCUCUUUCUCUCUCUCUUCAAUUGAUUAAAUAAACAUCACAUAUGCAAUUAAUAUAUCUAUGUGUUUAUGCAGCAUAUUGGUUAUUUGAGGAUCUGAGAGAUUUGGCUAGAGGUUAUGCGGAGAUACUGAGUUAUUGAUUAUGAUUUGGUGUUUUGUUGGAUGUUUCCACUGUUGAGAGAAGUUGGUUUUAGUUUUUCUGGUGGGUUUAUUGUGUGUGUGUGUAUGUAUAUAUGUAUACACACACACAGACACAGCUGAUAGCUGAUAGAGCUCGCAUGCAAACAAUCGCCGUGGUUUUGCACUCUUGUGUGUUUAGAUUCUUACUAAGCAGCCAUAGACACGUUGUGUCCUUAAUUUGAAACCCUCUAUAUAUCUUAACCUCAUCGGGUUUCACUUCUCCCUCAAACAAAACCUGCAUGUACCAAACCCACAAUAUAUAUAAAAUAAAAGUAGAGAUGCAGCAGCAGGAGAGAGGAGGGAGCAGUGAAGAGAGGAAGCAGCAAGAUCGGAGGCUGAAAACGAUGCAAGGAGGAACGGAGAAUCAGCAGCAACAGGAACAGCCGCAGCCACAAAAGUGUCCGCGUUGUGAGUCUCUGAAUACGAAGUUUUGUUAUUACAAUAACUAUAGUCUCUCUCAGCCUCGUUAUUUCUGCAAGACAUGUAGAAGGUAUUGGACUCAAGGUGGAACCCUAAGGAAUGUCCCUGUCGGAGGUGGUUGUCGGAAAGGAAAGCGCACUAAAACCUCUUCUGUCUCCGGGGAGGCUUCACGAGCUUCUCAGCCGCCGCAGCCACCAUCGCCGCCGCAUCCAAAUUUCACAACCACCCAGCAGAAUAUUCUCUCUUCUUCUAAUCCAGUUAUCACUACUGGACCUCCAGUUUUGAGGACUAAGCUGGAACCGGCGGCAGCUCCUCCGUCGAUGGGGUCUUACUAUCCAAGUGGUGGGUUCUUGUCUUCUUUAGCUGCAAUCCAAUCUCAAUCUUUUAAUCCUCAGCCGCUGCAUCAAGCUUUUAAUGUCGGAGGUGCUGAUCAUCAUCAUAAUAUCGGAGGGUCUUCAAAUUUGGAUCUGUUGCAGGGAUUCAGUACUGUCCCUUCUUUUGGGUCAUCACAUACACAGCACCAGCAGAUUCAACGAUCAAAAUUUUAUCAUCAUCAGAUGGGAAAUAGAGAUAAAAGUGCGAAUCCCAUGCACAUGAUGUAUCAUACCAUUCCGUCUGAUCAGGAGAACUUGACUAUUCAGUCUAGGAGGCCCGGCAGUAGUUCUUCUCAUCAUCAGCAGCAUGAUUGGCAUCAGCAAGGCAGCUUCAUCAAUAAUGGUAACAACCCUAAUGUACCUGAUCAUGAUACCAGUUUGUGGAGUGUCAGCACUGCCAGCGCCAACAGCAAUAAUACCUCCGUUUCUGGUUCUUUGAACCCAAAUCAAUGGCCGGAUCUUCCAGGUUAUGGCCCUCCUCCAUGAUUGAUCUGUUCAGCUUCAAUAUGCCAGCUCCUUCCAUCUCCAAAAGGAUUCUUUUUUAUAAUUCGAGUUGCUAUACUGGAAACAGCACCAUUAAAUCUCUCUAUAUGUUUUGGUUUUGAUCUUGUUCGUAGAACAUGGCUUUGAAAGAAUUUUGAGAUGUUUGUGCUCAUGUAAAUGGUAGAAAAAAAAUAGCGGCAACUGCCAUCGUUUGUAAUCUUUCUUAUAAUGUUCUAUAGAGAUGUUCUCGAUCGGUGUAGGGAUUAAUUAGGUUGUUUAAUUUGAACUUUUGAUAAAAGUUAAUAAUAAGGUGUAUGUUUUUGAGAACUUUAUUUAUUAAUCCUCUCUUCUCUUUAUUAGUAUUCGUGCUUUACACGGUACAACGAAUGUAUCAACUUUCUCCCACUAUACAAAUCAAAAGAUAUAAAGGCCUUCGCUUUUGGUAGCCUAGUUAAUUAGGGUUUUUUUAAGAGUCUAUAAAAAGAAGAGGAGAAGAACAGGUAAAAAGGAAAAGUACAUGGGGAAUAAAUAUAGACUAGUGGAACUGACGUAUUCGCGGAAGUUGUUGGACGAGAUGGUUCAUUUUGUUGCAUGAGGGCGACUGAGACAUUUAACUCAGUCUUCAUUUAAUGUUUGUGUAUCCAGUAUUCACUUUACUGUUCAAUUCUCCCAGAGCUUUCGCCAGUGUACAAAGAGGUAAUCUCUAUUAUCUAAUUUAUAAAAAUGAUAUAAAAAUUAAUAAUGUGCCUCAUUUUUAUUUUAUUUUUUAUGGUUACAAAUUUUAUUAAAUAUAGUUUUAGAGAAAACUAUAUACAUAAUAUACAUUUUCUCAGUUCUCAGUGUCAUGAUUUAAUACAUUUUUUCGUCACAAUAUCACUCAUCCUUUUUUAUGCCAUAAAUUUUCGGGAAAUUUACACUAAUAACCAUUAAAGUUUUGGUUUUUUUCAUCUUAACCCCCCAAACAAAUUUCUAUCAACAUUAGCCAUAAAACAAGCUUUGAGACUAAAAUACCCCUCUCCCUCAUCUCUCCCCCAACACUCCCUUUCACUCAUCUCUCCCAAACCGAACCAACUCCCAUCAUCGGCGGCAACAUCAGCCCUCGUCGGCGGUGGCUCCAUCUUUCAUCGACGUCCGAUCUACAAUCUACAACUUUCAACAAAACCUAGAUUAGCCAUUUUUUUUUAUUUUCAUUAAUUUCAAAUGAAAUUUUAGAAUAAUAAUGGUUGUAGUUUGAGAAUAAUGGUGGUGGUGGUGGUGUUUGUGGUGGUUGGUGGUGUUUUGGGAGUAUUGUUUUUGGAUUUUUGAGUGUUGUGGGGAGGGAGGGGGGGUGGGGGGCAGCGCGCGCGGGCGCCCAUCGCUGGGCAGCAGCGCGGGCGCAUGCGCGCCCCACUGUCGCACCAAUUUUGGUGCGACAGCGCCCUACUGCCGCACCAAUUUGGUGCGACAGCAAGCCUCUCGCACCCUAUAUUCUUUAUGUUUUUGCAUCCAGUUUUUCCAAAUUUUGAAUUUGUUGGUCUGCUUACGGGGUAAAUGUCAGUAAUAUUGGUCUGCUUACGGUUGCUUCAAAUUUUCAGGAUGAUAUGUCUCGUAAAGACUGGAACUUGGUUAAGGUGCUGAAGAAAAUUUUUAAGAUACCAUAAAGUGAUGAAUAUUGUUCUAUGAACGAUUGGGCAGUUGAGUACUGCUCUUGGAAUAAUGCAGUCAAUCUUUCUUUCAUGCUAAGUUUUGUUAAUAAAUUUUUCAUAGAUACUUUGAGAUAAUCGAUAACAUGAAUCUUUUAAUUUCUUCGGAUACUGAUUCCAAAUUCUGGGAUUUUCUUCAUCUUUCAUUUGUUAGAAAUUGGUGCCUGAAGCCUGAAGCCAAACGAACAUAUUGGCAGUUUUAAAUCAAGUACCUUGGACAACCAAUGAUUCAUUUAAAAUAAAUUUAAGAAAGAAAAAAAGAGAGAACAGUAACAUAUGACAUCUCAAAUACGGCCAAAGGUUCAAGCUACAAAAUGUGCCAAGCCAUGUUGUUGAGCAAGCGUGCCUCUGGAACUUCCAUCUUCAUCAACUCUAUUUUCUUCCAGCAAAAUAAUAACCAAGCAAAUGCGAUUAAUCCUCGAAUAAAACUUGGUGCGACAGGUUGCCUGUCGCACCAAGCUAAGUGCGACAGGUUGGUUUGCAAAUCGUUUUACAUUACAGAAUCAAAGCACUGCAAGAAACUGAAGCCUCUUCGCCAAGAGCACUUACCAGUUGUUCUCAUUCGAUAUUCAAACACAACUCAUCUUGAUCUCAGUCUCUAUCCACGCAUAAAUGACCAUUCUUUAUUUGCAAUAUCGAAAAUCACUAGCUUUACACUUCAAUCUAUUGAUCUUUCACGUUCUUGGGGCUUUUCAAGUUCUGGGUUGCUGAGUUUGACGUUGAGCUGUAAGAAUUUGGAAUGAUUUAUGGCUUCGAAGUGACACAAAACCGAACUUGUUGAAGGCUGGACCCUCUGUAGCUCGCACUUAUGGAAAAGCAAAACUUGGUGCGAUUAAUCCUCGAAUAAAACUUGGUGCGACAGGUGCCUGUCGCACCAAGCUAAGUGCGACAGGUUGCCUGUCGCACCAAGCUAAGUGCGACAGGUUGCCUGUCGCACCAAGCUAAGUGCGACAGGUGCCUGUCGCACCAAGUUUUUUUUGCGACAGGCACCUGUCGCCAUAUUCACCCACGACUCAGUUCACUGAAACUCUCGAGCAAGUUCAAAAAAUAACUCAUGUGAUGCCGAUUAGUGUUGGAUCCGGAUAGAUUAUGAUCGGAUUUCACUUUUAUCGUUGUCUUUUGCCGUCGCCGUUGGUUGAUGAUUAAAGAGUGGAAAGCUGCCUUUGGUUUGACGAUAUGUGAGAAAGAAAGUUGCUUUUGGUCUGUAAAGAAGGGUAAUUUGGGGAGAAAAGCGUGUGUUUGGCUAAUGUUGAUAGAAAAAAGUUGAGAGGAUUAAUUGUGAAAAUAACAAAAUUUUUAUGGUUAUUUUCGUAAAUUUCCCUAAAUUUUCUGGGUGUUUUGUUAUUAUGGGAUGGUGACGUAAGAGAUCAAUAAAAUGAGUCGCUAGCUAAUUAGAGAUGGCCAAAGGCCAACGGGUCAAGUCGUGCUCACUAUGUAUUUCGUGUCUAAUUUUUUUUCUUGUGAAGACUCAUUCGUGCCAUGUCAUGGGCCAUGUCGUGCCGUGCUCAGGAAAAAAAAUUCACUAAAUUUUUUUUUUUUUAAGAGUGCAUGUUAAGUUGUCUUAUUUUUUUAAACUUUAUGUAAUUUUUUGGAUCCAUGUGUCUUUAUUAAAAUUUAAUAGAAUGAAAAAUUUAAAACUCAAGUUCAUAUUCAAUAAUAAUAAAUUAAUAUUAAUAAUGUAAUAUUAAUUACUAAGUUUGACUAUGUAGUAUUAUAAUUCCUUUUUAGUACUUAACAAUAACAAUAAUAAUAAUUUUUUACGGGUUAAAUUAAUUGUUAACUUAGAAUUACGCAAAGUCAUUUAUCAUAGUUUAUAAUAAUAUUAAUACAUAUUUAUAAAAUCAUAAUAUCAAUUACUUAUUUAAUAAAUUAUAAACAUAAAUCAAUUAUAAUUUUUUUGAAACUAAGAAUUAAAUAAAUUUAAAAAACCUGAGCUAAUAAAAUGUAUCAAAAGAUUCAAUUUCAAGUUAUUUAUAAAAUUAUAAAAUUUUAAGUUUACUUUUAUUAAAAAAAUAAAAUUAUUUAUUGUGUAUUUUUUCGUGUAUUGUAUUUUACCCAUCUCUAAUCGUAUCAUAUUUUUAAUGGCUAUGUACAUAAAAUUUUAAGUUCGGCCCAACUCCCAUACGUGUCGUGUCGUAUUAUAUCGCAUGCUUUACCAAAAUAUUCUCAUACCGUAUCAUAUUAUAUAAAUAUAUAUCGUAUCUCGUGCCGUUCGGUCCAUUUACCACCUCUAAACAGCACACCUAAAGCACUAUGGAAAUAAUAAUUAAGGACGUGCGUCUCGAACGGAUUAAUUUAGUAAAAAUGGAUCUAACAAUUGACCUCGGUCUUGAUGCGUCAAUUGCUUAAACACACACACAAGCAGAUAUAUAUAUAUAUAUAUAUAGAAAGAAAUUAAAAUCUGGUCCUUAUAAACAAUAAUUGAAAAUGAAAAGUGAUUACCAUCAAAGACAAGAUUGGGAGAAAGCGUGGAGUGGGAGGUGGCUGUGGUGGUUUCCAAGUAAAGCAGAUCUUUGGUCUGCCAUGGCAAGAUCUCUGUUCAGAGAAUAAAAAUUAAAGCAGUGAGACUGAGAGUGAGAGACCUCUUCUUCCUCUCGGGAUAACCACAACAUGUCACUUCUUUGCCGUACGGCACAUUAUAAUCUAAAAAAUAUAAUUUUUGCAGAGAAAGAUUACAUCACUAUUCACCAUGGAAAGUCUGUCAGCGUCCAGCCAGCAUGCAGAAUUAUAGGUAAGCCAAGAGCUAGCCAAUAAUAAAAUAUAUUCUACAUUUCUACUGUUUGAAACAGAGCCACUCGACUCAAUCGAGCUAGAUCCUAUAAAUGAUUUUCAAAUUUGGGUCCGUCUAUGUUGCAACAGUGGCAACAUACAACAACUUUUAUCAUUUUAUGUUUAUUACAUUACACUAUCUUAUAUUUUCUGAAAAAUUUAAUAGCCACUAAAAGUAACAAAUUUUUACAUAUAAGUCCAUUUUUAUAAUAAAAUGACAUUUGAAAAGAAUUUUAAUUUAUUAUUAUUAUUAUUAUCAUUAUUAUUAUAUAAGAUUAUUUCUAUUAAAUUUUAUUUUAUUUAUUUUUUUAAUUAUUUUUAUUUAUGAUUAUUACUGUCAUUAUUAUUAUUAAAAUUUAUUUCUUUUAUUAUUUUAAUUGUUAUUAUACUGUAAUUAAUUCAUUAAUAUUAAUAUUUAUCUUGUUAUGAUUAAAAUUUUUGUUAUUAAAAUAUAUUAACUUUAUUAUUAAUUAUUGUUGUUAUUAUUAUUAUUAAAACUUAUUAAUAAUUUUUAUUAUUAUCAUUAUUAAUAUUAUUAUUUCAGUUAAUUUUGUUGUUAUUAUUGUUAUUGUUAAUUUUUUGUUUUAAUUAACAUUAUUGUCAUAAUUAUUAUUUUUAGUUUUAUUAUUAUUAUUGUUUAAUUAUAAUAUAUACAAAUAAUAUUAGGGACACAAUUAACAAAGGGCAUUUUAAUAACUUAUAAUUGUCUAUUCCAAUUAUAAAAUAAAGUAAACACAUCAAUGGGAAUGUUGUUCAUUCCGAUUCCAAUUCAUAGAGCUCAAGUAAAUAACUUAUUCUAAUUCAAAUUCUUUAUUACAAUUCUAUCUCAUUUCAAUUCUUAUUUAAUAAACGCGUCAUUAGAAUGUAUUUAGAACAUAAUAUUGUAUAUUGUUAUAAUAUUGUUCACAUUAAUUUAUUACUUACCUAUGUUUGGAAGUUUUAAAAGUUAGAUUGUAGUCAAUUAUAUAAUUCACUAUAGUGUGCUAACUUUUGUCUUAAUUGAAAUAUUAAAUAUAUUUAAAUUAUUUUUUAUUUUUACUAUAAUAAUUAUAAUAUUAAAAAUAAAUUAUAUUAUAAUAUUAUUUUGUUAUAUUAUAUUAUAUUUAUUUAUUAAUAAUUAAUAUAAAAAAUAAUUAAUAAAUUUAAAUAAUGAGAGUAGAUCUAGAAAUGAUAGUAAUAAUUAAUAAAUUACGAAAUAUUUAUGAAUUUGUGGAAUAAAUAAACGAGUAUUAAAUCAUGCAUUGUAAUUGCCUAAUAUCAAUAAUAAAAGUUCUCUUAAAUUUCAUACUUUUUCCUUAUUCAUAUUAUUUAACAACUAAGCUAAUAAAUAAAAUAAUAAUAAUAAUAUUUUUUCCUGGCAUUUCAAAAAAUAAGAGGGAUUGCAAUGAAAAAAACCAAAAUAAAUACACCAUGCCGUUGGAUUUGCUUUUACCAUUCUUGCCUUGGAUCCAAUGGUUAAAUUAUAAAAUGAGAAAAGUAGUGGUAUGUUGCAACUGUUGCAACAUAGGCGGCUCCUUCAAAUUUUCAAUUACAUAUACCAAACUGAUUAGCAGAAUAAAAUCUUGGUUGGCACAAUUUACUAAUUUAUGCUCAAUCGCAGUCUUGGUAAAUGGUGGUGAUGAUAUAUUUUUAGCAGGUUCCAUAAUUAAAAAAAAAAGUAAAGAAAAGAAAAGAAAGAAAGUCGCCUGUUUUGCUUGAGAGAUUGGAGUAUCCACUAUCUAACAUAUUAGAGACAACUUAUUAGAUUAUCUACAAUCAAUCAAUCAUAACUUGGUAAUAUUGUUUAUUGGAUCAUUUAUCUUACAUGCAUAUAAGAUAGAGAUUGCCUUAUUUAUUAUAUUUUUAACAGGUUUUUUAUUUAAAGAAAGAAAAAAAAUUUGCUUGUGUGCACGAGAGAGCAGUGUAUCUAAAAUUUUUAUUUGAUACAAUUUUUCAAAUAAAACUAAUUGAACUUAAACUUUUACAAAUAGAAUUUUUUUUUAAAAAAAAUUAAGCUAUGUUAUUGAAUAAAUGAAAUAAGAUCAUUAAAUAAGUAAAUGAUGUUUUAGAUAUUCUAAUAUUUAAAAAAAAAAUUCAACCUCUACUUUCAGAAGACUAAAAUUUUAUCUCCUAUUUGUAGAGACCAGAUAACUUAUUUAAUAUUCAAAAACUCUACUGAAAAAUAACCAAAUAACAACAAAAAACUUUAAAAAAAUCAUGUGAGAUCAAAUAAUUAUUUAUAGUCAUUAGAUAAAACGUACUAAACAGACACUAACUAAAGAUUUCAAGAUUGUGUCAUAAUUAAUUUGUGUAUAAUAUACAUUAAAUUCAAAUUCUUUCACAAAAAAUAUAAAUAUAAAUUUGACUAAGGACCAACUUGGUAAUGUCGUAGUAUUUAAAAUAAUUUGUGUUACUUGUACUAUAUAAAUAAUCAACUAUGAAGAGAAUGAGCUAAACUUUUGGUAAUAAUUAUUUUUAAAAGUGUUGUGAGCUUUAAAAGCAAUAAUAUGUGUUUGGUAAAUUUUAUUAUUAAACUGCUGCAAGAAUAAAAAUUACUAAAAUAGAUAUAAUGUUUAAUAAAAUUAUUUUGAAAUUUAUAAACCUGUAUGUAUAAUAUAUAUUUUUUAGUGUGUGUAUGUGUAUAAUAAUUGAAAACUAAAUAAAUACUCUCACCUUAUUAAUUUUAUUUUUUUUAUUUUUUUUAUCUCAAUGUAAUUGGUAAUAAUAAUAAUAAUAAUCCCUUUAAAUUUAAUAAUUUUAUUUUCUAAUUAAAUAAGGAUAAUUUUAUAUGUGAAAAUAUAUAUGAAAUUGCAUUAAGUAUAACAUUAAUUCUCAAAUUUAGAUGAGAAGCUACUCCUUCGCUACUUUGAAAUCUACUGUAUGAUUAGGUAAUUUUUCUGAAUGUAAAUAUUAAAAAACUUUACCAAACAUUAAAUUAGUUUUCAACAUUUUAAAAUCACUUUUAAACCACUUAAAAGCGAUUCCAAAAGGAUCCAAGGAUAUUAAGAUCACUAAUAAUUACAACUCAUAUUAACAAAAGCUAUCCAAAAUGGACAGCUUGCAAGUUUUCAAUGCUUUGACUACUAAUAGUUUUAGCCCUAAUGGUUUUGGUCUUAUUAUUGACGAUUGUAGAGCUUUAGCUCAAUCUAUAGGAGAUGUUACUUUCUCCUUUGUUAGGCGAUCUGCGAACUCCGCUGCUCAUUUUAUUGCUCGGGUGGGGGGUUCUUUGUCAGGUCCGGGGGAGUGGAGGCAUGUUCCACCCCCUUGGUUGAUUUCUAAGUUAUCUACUUAAUGAAUUUUAUUUCCCUCAAAAAAAAAAAAAAAAAAAGCUAUCCAAAAAAUUAAACUAAGUAAUAAAUUACAUAACUCUUAACCAUACGUUCUAUAAAAUAUGGAUACGUGUAAAAAAAAAUAUAAUAAAUUUAACACAAUUCAGUUCAAACACUGAAUUUAAAUUCGUAUAAUAUCACCUCUAAAAAGAGUAAUUCAAGGAGGAAGAAAGAUAGCUUCAAUUAUGGAUUAAGGACUAAUGUACUCCCAAUCCAUUUAAUAGCUUUAUAUUUAUUUUCUUAACAUUUGGGUAAUCCAUUCUUAGUUCUUACAUCAUAGAACUUGGUGAAUUUUGUACAUAUAUUGAAGUUCUAUUAUAGUGUAGUGACCUCGUCGACUCGACUUUGCGUGCAAAACGACUCCACCCCCUUUAUGUCAUUGUCAAAUACGAUAUUAGCCAGAGCCAAAUGGAUCUUAUGAAGGCUUAUUAGCUUGGAUAGACGGAUACAUGAUUCACAAUUAGUCAAAGCAGGAUUAUUAAUAAAGAAAGCUCUCAUCCAUUCAAAAGUAGGGUUAAAAAAAAAAAGGAAAAAAAAUUGAUUCCCUUGAUUUGUCUAGCUAGCUGAGAUUGCAACUUCCAUAACAAAAAGUAUUAUGAUAAUUAUGGGACCCUUGAAGUGGGAAACCCAGCCCACAUCUUCGUCUUUUACAAACUUUACUUUUGUUAUGUUGCGAUCCCUUUAAAGGAUUUGGUGACAUUUGCAUGGAGGAACAAUCCAGUGUCCAACUUUAACACUGCAUUGAUGUUGAGCUGUGGGGUUCCCUUCUUCUUUUCCUUCUUUCGAAAGUAUCAUAGCAUGCACAACUGUACGACCCUACCCUAUAUCAAAACCCCAUGAGAAUGGGGACUCUACGGCCCCAUUUCACCAUCAUUUGAACUUCUAGCAUGACAAAAUACAAAUCACGAAUGGCUUUGUGGACUAAGCUAAUUAGCUUUUACAUUUCAUCAUCAUUCUUACAAGCAAUAAAGCUUAACUAUUUUCCGUGAAACACUUCCAUUACUGAUUAUCAACAGAUAAAAAGUAAUUAAUAAAGUUAUUUACAAGUACUAUGAAUAAUGAAGUGGACCUUUCUCUUGAGGAAUUUGCAGUUAAAACCCCCAUCCGAUCCCCACGUGCCACUUCCAACUUAUUAUAUAUCCACGCCAUAAGCUUUAUCCAGACUGAUUUAUGAGAGACUAUUGAUUACAGAAAAUCCACUCAGCUUGUAAGUUGUAACACGGACAAUUCAGAGGAUUAAUUUGGAUUACGUUGAGGUGACAAGGCUUGGCAAGAUUCGCAUCACCUUCGUUCUUUUAAUCAUCUUGAAUUAUGUACUCAAUAGCACUACUAACUCAUAUACGUAGACAAAAAUCCGGGCUUUUUUGGCUUACACGUUAAGGAAAAGUGAUCAUUAUAGCAGGGAAAAAAAUUAAUAUGGAAGUGUUAUCCUAUUUGAGAUUAGAGGGAGUAGUUAUCGCUUAAUUACCAGUUCAAUGCGAUGAUUUAUUUUCUCAAGAACGGUUCUUCAUGGUCCCAGCUUUGGAACAACUAACCCAACAAAGUACAAUAUACUAAUGUAGCCGGGAUGCGGACGGCACUAGUUUUGGAGAUUGUUACUGUAGAAGCUGAUUUAUUUAAUUAAUUGCAGAAGUAAUAUAUUUGCCAAAUAAUUUGCCCAUAAGGGUGUCAUGAGUGACUUUUAAGUAGUUUUAUCUAGUCGAUUACUUGAAUUUAAAUGACGGAAUAAUAAAAAUUAAUUUAGAUUUUGCUCACCUUUUUUUAAUUAUUUUUUAAAAGAAAAUUAUCAAGUGAUUAUGGUUUGUUAACAGUGGAUUCACAAUAUAUAAUUUAAAUUGGCAAGUGUAUAUAUCCAAUACAUUAAAAUGUGUUAUAGAAAACACAUGCAAUAAAUACCAAUCACAACUUUUUAAAAAAGUCAAAACAAAAAUCAUAUCACCUGUGAAUUUCACUCCCAAUUAAUAAUAAUUCAUAAUAAUUGUUGUUAGUUGCACUCUAAAAAUAAUGAGGUAUGAGAAAAAUCAGUUAAAUAUUUGGUAAAAUUUAUUUUUAAAAGUGUUUUGAGUUUUAAAAGCAACCAUAAGUGUUUGGUAAAUUUUACUAUUAAAUCGAUAUAAGAAUAUAAAUGACUGAAAUUGAUAUAAUGUUGAAUAAAAUUUAUUUACACCAUUUAUAAUAAUG
Molecule: long non-coding RNA, 68194 nt
Filed under: Citrus x clementina
Lineage: Eukaryota; Viridiplantae; Streptophyta; Magnoliopsida; Sapindales; Rutaceae
Description: Citrus clementina (C. clementina) long non-coding RNA (CCLE_LNC005727)
Source: RNAcentral